AGAGACGAAGAAGCUACACCGAUGUAGAUUUGAGUUCACAUGAACACCGGGAAGGCCAACAAGCGGGAGUUUAAGGGCACUGGAAACCCUCGGGGACCUUCUUGCCACAGUAGUUCACCAGGAGGCUGAGGCUGAUGGGUAUGUUGAGGUUGGCGCCGAGGACGUUGGCCUUGAGGGCGGUGCAGAGGCAGAGGGCAGCCUCGUCGUCGGCAAGCCCUUCCACCAGACUGCAGCAGGGCUUCUUCGGCGGCUUGCCGAUCUCGACGUUGAUCAAUUUGAGGACGUCGCUGCAGGCGGCAAAUUUGAGGGUGUCCACGGGGCAUUUGCCGGAGGGGGCAGGGCUCGGGGUUGGCUUCGGCUUCGGCUUCGGCUUGGGUUUGGGCUUCGGCGUCGGGGUAGGGCAGUAGCCGCAGGCGCUGGUGAGGACCCAGAAGAGGACGUUGAACAAGAGGAAAAGAGCGAUCGAGCUUGUGGUCUUGGACGCCAUGGUCUCUUCCACUCUAGUGAACACUAAGUGCUCGUGAUGGGUUGAUGCAUCGUGGUACGCAGUGGUACUUAUAGGGCGAGGAGGAUAGACGAGAGCCACUGAGAGCCAGUUGUAGGCUGGAAGACAGGACAAACAACGCCAUGUGAGGGGAGAAGCAAUGGCCAAGGGGUUUUAGCUGGCAGAUUCCGGAUCGUUUUGGAGCAUUCCUGUGGCUGUUCCACAAGACUUUUGUGCACCAUUCCUUCUUCUAGCUUGACGUGCAAAUACCAUCAUCAUAUAUAUCACUGGAACUUAGUGGCCAUGAGGUUACAACUCCGGGGGACUUGAUUCAUUGGCCUGCAGCAAAGUUUUAGAGUUUCCUGAGCUACAUAACCAGGAAUGGCAGCUGGGUUUUAGCUUCUUCUUACGUUGAAGAAGACAUGUCUGAAGCUGAUUGCCACAGGUAACAUCAAUCCAGUUGUAGUUCAUACCGAAGCCGACUUAUGGAGCUUCUCACUGCACAGUGUGAAACUAUAUCAGACAAGAAAAAGAGUGUUCUUAUCUUCUCUAAUGGACUAUAAGUAACUCCACAACAUAGUUAAGAGGCCUUGUGAAAGGUAGAAAGAAGAGUGAGGAAGAAGCAUGACAAGGUUCAAUAAUUGAGGCGCAGCAUCCAUGAAAGGAGGUCAAUAUAAACUUUGUGCAAGUCUCGGGCAAUGAUCAAAGAACAAGUUGCCGCAAUGACCAUAUCAUCAUUUUGGCUUUGCAAGACAAAAUCUCCUUCUGGUUCUAAGCUUAGUUAUGAGCUUUAUAAUCGAUCAACUAUACAACACAUUGGAUUUGGAUCAACCACAGCCUUUGUCAUUUGUUAUAGCACAAGUUGAUGAGCAAGUGAUUUGGAUGAGAACCCUUGCAGCAAUUCAAAUACAACAAUACAAUUAUUAGGGGCACGCCCUACCAUCGAGCAAUUUGCUGACCGUGUGGGGCUGCGUGCGUACGUUGAAUGUGACGAGUUUUGGAAGCUCUAGAGUUUGCAUCAAAUCGAGACAAUAAGCCGCCGUAUGUGGACAUCAACACACCAACAAUUUUGUUCUUUUUUUUUUAAUGAAAGGAUAAAGGAAGAAGAUAAGAUUUAAGUUUAAAAUUUUAUAAUGAACUAUCAAUUUUUUUACUAGCUAAAAUAACUAAUAUCUUCAAAAUAUAUCAGAUGAUAUUUUUAAUUUUUAAUCUUAUAUAUAUAUAAUAUUUUGAAAAAUAAUUUUUGUCUAUCAACUAGUCACUCUAAAGGCAUUGAUGUAGAAGAAAAGAGCUGAAUUACCCUCCACUAGGCAAUUACGUAUAGAUGGUUAUGGUUUGUUUGCCCCCGUGGACAAUUGAGAGGUCGUUUGUGCCUAUUGCUCCUGUGGAUAAAAUGCCACGAGGGACAUUAAGGUUAUUACAGAGAAUCCUCUCAGCUAGUGAAGUAUAAACAUUGACCCCCGAUGCCAACCAAAAGGGUCGAACCAUUUAAAAAAAAAAACUUUGACACCCCAUACAACCUCUCAAACUAACUUGAGCGUCGGAGAGGAUAGGUUGGAAAACUCUUCAUGACAUUGACCUUUGUGUAGGAACCUACUGAGAAGCUAGAUUCCACCUUGGCCUAAUCUCAAGACCACCUCGGAGAGGUUGAAACUACACAAAGACCACCUUGGAGCCACCUCAACUGCACCAAGGCUGCCUCAAGGGUUCCUCGGACGUCUCUACGCCUUUGAGUCAAAACCAACCUGUGCUAACUUAAUCAUCGACGAUAUAUCCUCUCAACAUUUUAAUACUAGAAGGAGGGUCAAAUGUGCCCGAGUCAUAUGAAUCGAGAAAACUUAAUCCACGCAUAGAUGAAUCCGCUACGACAAAGACCCUGCGCCAAAUGUGCCCGAGGCAUGUGUUAGGAAAACCUAACUUGCACUAAUAUGAAUUCGCUAUGAUAGAUACCUUGGGCCAAAUGUGCCCAAGGCAUAUGAAUCAAAAAAACUUGGUCCGUACCAAUAUGAAUCUGUUAUGAUGGAGACCCCAGGCUAAAUGUGCCCAAGGCAUGUGAGUUGGAAAAAUCUGAUUCAUGCCUGAUGAAUCCACUAUGGCGGAGACCCGAAGCCAAAUGUGCUCGAGGCAUGAGUCGAAAAAACUCAAUCCACACUAAUAUAAAUUCAUUAUUGUAUAAACCUUGAGCCAUAUGUACUCGAGAUAUGUGAGUCAAGAAAACUUGAUAUGCGUCAAUAUGAAUCAACUACGAUGGAGUUCCUGGGCCAAAUAUGCUCAAGUCAUAUGAGUCAGGAAAGCCCGACCUACGCCAAGAUGAAUUCGCUACAGCAUAGGCACAAAGCUAAAAGCUCUAUGUUAGUCGGGAAAACUUGACCCAUGCUAAAAUAAAUCUAUUAUGGUGAAGGCGAAAAGGUAAAAGUACUUGAGACACCUGAAUCGGGAAAACCCAACCCGCAAGAUAAGAUCUCGAAUGCUCCCGUAUCGAACAAACUAAACGACGUGCUUCUAACCCCUCUCGUAAGAGCCCUAAGCACACUUUUGUGGGGGGACAAAUGAUAGGAAAUAUUUUGACAACCAAUCCCUGUCCGCUAACUAGUCACCAUAGAGACACUAAUAUAAAAGAAAAGGACCGAAUUACUAUUCACUAGAUAAUGAUGUGGGAGUAGCUAUGGUGUGUCGGCUCUCGUGAACAAUAGUCCAUGGGAGGUUGUUCGAACUAACCUUGUCAAUAUUUAUGGAUAACAAUCCACGGGAGGUUGUUCAAGCAUGUCACUCCCAUGGAUAAAAUGCCAAGAGAGGACAUUGAGGUUAUUACAAAGGAUUUUCUCAACUGAUUAAGUAUAAAAGCUGACCUCGAUGUUAACCCAAGGGUCAAAUCUUUUUUCGAAAAACCUUUGACACCUUAUGUAACCUAUUGAACUAGCUUGAGUGUCGAAGGGGUCGGUAGGUCGAUAAACUCUUUCCGACAUUGACCUUUAUGCAGGAACCCAUCAAGAAACUAAAUUCCAUCUCGACCCGACCUGAAGACCACCUCGGAUAGGUCUGGACUAUGCAAAGACUACCUUAGAGCCACCUCAGCCACUUCAAAAUCGUCUCAAGGGUUUCUCGGAAGACUAAGCCAAGUUGACACAAUCGUCAAUGUAUAUAUAUAUAUAUAUAUAUAUAUAUAUAUAUAUAUAUAUAUAUAUAUAUAUAUAUAUAUAUAUAUAUAUAUAUAUAUAUAUAUAUAUAUAUAUAUAUAUAUAUAUAUAUAUAUANNNNNNNNNNNNNNNNNNNNAUAUAUAUAUAUAUAUAUAUAUAUAUAUAUAUAUAUAUAUAUAUAUAUAUAUAUAUAUAUAUAUAUAUAUAUAUAUAUAUAUAUAUAUAUAUAUAUAUAUAUAUAUAUAUACUUUGCAUCUCGAAUGAUAACUAGUACAGGCCAUCAUACUUGAUAGAAUUAAAUGGUAAGAUAUGGGUGUACAUUUUACUACGGGGUUCGAUCUGUCACAACUUAGUUUGGCCAUAGUCUUCUACUUCCAACCUAUACGUAUCGCUACAGUCUGCUGUCUCACACAGAACGACACGACCUCAUCACCUUAAGCACAUGCUGUGUCAGGGACCGGAGGAGAUUAUUUUGAGAAAUUCGCAUGUUGCUCCACCUUUUAAAAACUUUUUUUUGCAAAGCUUCUCUAAUCAUGCGAAAUGAUCAUUUUAUCUCUAUCUUUAUUAGAUCUGUUAUCGUCAUCACUAUAUAUCGCCCCUUCCCCCCUCCCUUCUUUGCCUAUAGUUGAUGACGAAGGGAGCUUGCUAGCAACGAUGAACAAGUGAAGGUGCUCACCCUAUCACAUGUCCCACCAAACCCUAUUAUGGUGAGAGGAAUAUGUAGAUCUCGACGACGAGAGGUCUUACGAGUGAUGGAGGCAAUUGCUAUGCCCUGACGAGGGCAAGGCCUCCAUUGUUGAUCACCACCUUCAUACACGAUUGCACUUGCGUUAUAGGUGAUAAACGACGAGAUGAAAACACGGCCAAGGCUACGUAGAGCACCAUUGCCAACAAAGGUAGAAUUAUUAUUUUUUAAAAAGAGAUGUUUUGUGAGAAUUUCUUAAAGUUAAAGACGUUAUUCGAGAAAUUUUCAAUAUUAAAAUUUUUUAAAAGAAUUUUCCAUAUAUAUAUAUAUAUAUAUAUAUCUUGAUUUGAAAUAUAUCAAAACAAAAACAAAAACUCUUUCGUCCUUUGUCUCUAAACACUUUUAUAAUCCGGAUCAAGAUAACUUAACGAGUUUCACACUUUGGACAUUCCCACAUCAUGUUAUGUCAUGUCAAACGCAUCGUCAACCUGACACAUCGAUCUAAUUCACACUCACAUAAACACCAACUCGACUCGACACCACUUGGGGCAUCCAACCAUUUCGAUGUCGGUUGAAACCUAUCGCUUCACUCACACAAACCCUACCGUGCAAUAACUAUAAUGCUCAUUAUAUAUUUUCUUGAUCGAGUAAUAACAAAUAAUUCCAUAUAACUAUUACUGAGAUUAACUUCCCACUUUAUUCCAAUAGUUAAAAAGGCUUCAAAUGCAUUUCUAAGGACACUAUCAAAGUAUACAUCUGACAUGGAUGUUUACCUCAAUCAAUCACAGUUCAUAAGUAAUGGUAAAGAAUCCAAGAAGAAAUAUUUUAUCAAUAUAAUAAAAUAUAUUUCUUUAGUUCAAACUCAUUAUAAAGACCAUCAAUUUACUGUUACAAAGAUCAAUUACUAUUCACUCAUGACUCAACUUUUCACCUCAAUACUAAUUCGAGCAUCAAUGAGUCCCCCGUGCAGACAACCCAGAAACGAGUCAAGUUGAUUUAGACAUCAUCGACAUCCACCACAUCAACACCUAUACUUCUCGAAUCCAACUUUCUUAUUGAUCAUCGAAGAAAUGUUCAUCAAACACACCCAUAACAAUUCGUAGGAUGUCCCGCUAAACAAUCUCACUCUCAAUUGACUACAAACCAUAUUUGCACUAGCAAAACCCCAAGGCAAAUGUUUCACAAGUGACCCAGAUUAGAUAAAGGAUUUCUCCUGUACAUAAUUCAUGGCCAAAAGCAACAAAAUGAAGUUUUCAACUGCUCUACUCGACAAACGAACGAUACUCUUUAACAUUACUCAAAGAAAGUUGCAUUUAUAAUUUACAUGUAUCUCUGAUGCGACUACUUCAACAGUACGACACUGAAUCUGUCUGAAACAAGUAAAAGACCAAACAGUGGAAAAUGGUGGGAGGCAAAAUAUGAAUUGCCUUCAUUUUAUUGGCAUGAUCGGAUAACUAGGGAUACCUUCAGGCCCCUCUUCUCCUAAACCCAAUGACAAAAUCAAACAACAAAAGAAUGAGCAGUUACAUGGAGACCCAUAAAGUUGAUGAGUCAUCUGCAGAUUGACACACACCAAUAGAAGAGUUGAAUGUGCAGAAACUCAACUAAGCAUCACGCGAUACCGACCUGAGUGCUGAGUUCAUGCUAGCUGCCGGGUACCACAGUUAGUUCAUUGAGUACUCACCAAAUAUAUCCAUACAGUCAUCCCAUUUCUGCUGAUCCCUUGCCUCCCAGUAUCCGCCUAUAUAACAGAACGUUGCAUCCUCACUAUCCCUUUGGAACCAUCUUGGCUUCCACCCAUUUUCCUGCAAUUUUCUUGACUGCACCAAAAGAUAAAUUUGAUCAUGCAUGCUGUGCAAUGUUUAACACUAACUUCUGGAGAAAGGUAAAAGAUUCAAAAUUCAACGAAAGCACAUGCCCUUGAUAGAUCUUUGCAAUUUGACUACAACAUGGAAGUUAUUAACUAGAAGAGUAUUCGUAUCCAACAAUGCAUUCUUUAUAUGAAGCCUCUGCAGACUCUCAGGAAUCUGCAUGUUUAUUGUAGGUUCUGGCAAUCAAUGCUAGCAGUCCUAUCAGUUAGCAAUUAGUUAGCAGUGAGUAUUUUCCACACGGAAUUCAAUCCAGAAAAAUCCGUGUGAAUCAGGAUGGCAUAUCAUAAAAUGUAAUAGAAUACUACAGUAUAAUUGAGAUAUCAAGAAACAGCAAAGCCACAUUUAUAUGACUAUUUAAGCUUAAGAAUAUUGUGAGUGAGGACUACCAUUCGCUGUCUCUUCUCCAAUCGCAGCUUUUCUGUAUUUGCCUUUUCAUACUCCCCAUUCUCAAGAUACCGCUGAUCUGGCCGCAGUCUUGAAUCAGUUGGUGGAAGUUUUUCCUUGAUUUAUGACCAAACAUUCACAAUGAGAUCAAAGGAAAAUAUAAUUAAAUUAACAAGAUAAAAAUAUGAUAUUUAACAAGUAAAUUGCAUCUCAUAUCUACCUUCAGUUCCGAUGUUAGCUCAUUUAAUGUAAUAGCAAAUGAUGUCAAGUUGUAUCGAGUGGGUUCAGUAGGAGGCUUAUUCCUUUUCCACAGCAGAUUUGCAUUCUCUGUCGAAACAGAGCUCUUGGUCUUCAAGAUUUCAUCGCCAAACGAGAAGUACAUGCUGUCAUCCCAUUUCCCAACCAAAGUAGCAACUUUUGAUCCGUUCAUAGACUCAACAAAGCCUAGCACCUUUGUAGAAGAAUGUGGCCCCAGUCACUAGAAGAACUUGAUAAGACUGGACUAAAUGCAGCAAAAUCUCAUUCCUUACUUGGUGAGGGUUGCGGUCAAGGAGCGACUGCUCUUUGAACUUUAGUUUACAAGAAUAUUGCCGGUUACCCAGGAUGUUCAUUGUACCAUGGUGAUUGCAGUGUACUUUUCCGAGGAUCAGGUUAUAGAUAGUCGUUGUGACCUAAAUGGAAACCAACUGAUACAUUUGACAGGGCAGAAAAGUAUCUUUCUCCGGAUGAUACUUGUUUAUGAAGUCUGUGUGUGUGUGUGUGUGUAGAAUGACAUGACAAAAAGAAGCAUGCAACUCUUUUAUGACAAAAGUGAUUUUCUUGAAUUGUGAAUAUGUUUAACAAGAAAACAAUAUUUGUUUUAUUUACAGAAAAUUUGAGAUUAUGAAUAAUUUUGCAUGGUAAUACAUACCUUACUCCACUGAAAAAUUUCGCCAUCAUCAAAUUCCAAGGUUAAUACACCAAGGGGAUCUAGUUGUAUGGAUUGUCCCCGGAACUUACUCCUGAGAUUGCUGUCUCCCCAGAAUUUCCAACCUCUGCCUUCGCAAUGGCAGGCAAUGAGCAUAGGAUGGUGGCUAACCUAGUGGAAUAGUGAGAAACCUCAGAUUUUUUAUAUCUUAUGAAGUAAUGCCACAGAAGGUUGCAUAGGGAAAUAGAAGAGCAUAUAUGUGUCAGCUAAACUAAUUCAAUAUGAUAAGUAAGCAUAUAUAACAUGAACAAAUUAGAAAAUCUCUAAUUCAUGAAAUAAAUAUUCAAUUGUUGAUUUCUAUCAUAUGAUUUAAUUAUUAAUUUCUAAAUUUCAGUUUUUUGUUACAAGAUAACUUCUCUUUCAGCCUUGAUGUGAGAAAAUAUCUAGAUUUUGUUUGUAGAUAAAUUUUCUGACAACAAAACGAAUUUUGAGAACUCGAGUAAAUAUUCAUCAUUCCAAAGGCAGCAUGUCCUAAUAUGUUUUGAGGCAAGCAAAGAACACCAUGUCACAUUCAUAUAAAUAAGCAAAUGAAGCGUCCAUCAAGUUUCUUAUGAAAUGUUAAAGAUCUAAUUGUUGAAGCACUUCUGCUGCUGCCAGAUUUUUGUUCUCAAUAGAAGAAUAUUUGAAUACAAAAUCAUACUCAAAUUUAAUAAUUGCUAAGUAUGCCAUGCACAUUUCUGAAUCAUCAACACUUCUGGAUCACAGGGCAGAAACAAACUAAUAUAUGCAUUAAUUGAUAGUUGAAAAUGGUAGUUAAUUUGCAGACUGCAUACACCCAUGAAAUUUUCACAAAAAAGGAUUUGAAGUAUCCAAACCAUUUCACUUGAAUUAAGAAAAAUGCCUGUAUAAGUCUUUCAUUGACAUAUUUUUUUCGAAUGUUUCUUUAAUUUCAAAUUCAUUUCCUGAGUGAUCUUGAUCAUGCCAAUCUGACCCGACCAAUUACAUCAAUCCCAAAUCAUAAACUUGCAAACAACACCUAUAGCAACCAAGCAUAUUCAUGAAUCCCAAAAAGGCUUGAAUGUACUCCACUUAUGAACAUAACUCCACAUAAUAUGUGCUGUACUUCAUGAAUCCCAAAAAGGCUUGAAUGUACUCCCCUUAUGAACAUAAGUCUACAUAAUAUGUGCUUUGCUUCAAGCAUGCAUCCAAAAAUGAUAACAUAUUUACUAGCAGUACACAUUGGAAAGAUAACAAAUGAGCUUUCUGGCUUGAUUUUAGUUUUCAUGAAUAGAGAAACUCAAUCAAUAAAUAGAUAUAUAUGACUCUUCUGUUACUCUGGAUAAUUUCUCAGUAAUUUGAUAAACUUUUAUAAUUUUAUGAAAAUGGUAAAGCAAAUCACAACAAUGAGACUGUGAGAUCUUCAUACCAUAGUCCAAAACCUACCUUUUCAGCAAAGAAACGGACUCCUUUUUCAGGGUAGUCAGCUUCAUAUGUUUCUCCUAACAAAGGAUUGAAAGGUUUGCAAAGGCGGCCAUCACAAGAAGAAUAUCCAGAGACUGCAAAGGCAGCUACAUUCAGAAUCCUCAUGAGACCAUUCCCCUAAAUACAAAAGUUCAGCAUAAGAAACACAAAUUAGGUUGAACAGGAAUUUUGCAAUUAUAACCAUGUAUAUGCUACCUUGCCUAUUGGAUAUCACAAAUUAGCUUUAAGACUUGUGCAGUACUCAAAUGACAGAUACAGAUUUAUUCCAGGUAUUAACUUAAGUAUUUGGUUAGAGACACUGCCAUUUUUACUUAGCAUACAGAAAUAUCACAAAGAACAACAGAAUUUGAGAAACAGUUUAUUUUAUGCACAUGGAUUCCAUCACAAAUUAUAACAAAAAAGAACAGAUCACUCUUGUCAAAUAUGCACAUGGACUCAUAUUUGCUACCGUCAUUUCUAGUUAAUCUAAAUCUUAUCUUAAAUUCUUUUGGACAUUGCUAAUAUUCUAAGUGCCAAAUGUUCAUCAUUGAUAUGUUUCUUCACAAGGUGUUAUAGUAGGCUUUCUGAUACUUUAAUUUAGAUUCUUUUCUAACCCUUUAAUUUCAUCAUGUAAUGCACUCCAAAUAAUUGGGAUAUUAUGACUUGUUAUUGUUGUAGUUGAUACCUCCUAGGAUUUACAUUGUCAGAAUGGAAGCUCACAUUCAUGCAUCAUUCUCUAUCAAGCCACUUAAUCUGUUUUAAUUAUAACCCCUCUUUUGAUACUUGCCAAAAAUUAGAAUGAUGUUUUGGCAAGAACAAAGAAAUUUUUUUGCACCCCACUAUUUGCAUUCUCAUGGCACUUGCUUACUGACAUGUAACUAGAAGAUCUUUGUUGAACACUUGAACCAUUGAUAAAUUAUACCAGCAUGACCUUCAGUAUCUUCACUUUAAUCUUUUGGUAGUUAACUAACCAGCAGCUUGAGGGGAAACCUAGAAUAAUCUUGUACAAAGACAUUAUGCUAUGUAGAGAAUAUAUUCCAAAAAUUUCCCGAUAAUGAAGACAGAAGAAGAAUGAACACUUGAGAAAAUACAAAUAAGCAGAAAUUGACACAUGAAUAAAACAGUCAGAUCUAUAUCCUAUGUCAAAAAAAUUCUUAAAUAACUGCAUAACAAAAUCUUUACUAGCUCUAGCAACUUCACGAAAAAGGGGGAAAAAGCCCAGCUAGUCUGCUUGCUAGCAAGAUUGCUAAAACUUGAGCCGAUCUGUGGAAGCCACUAUGGAUUUCUAUGGACAGAAUGAACUGUAUUUAUUGAAAAUAUAUAAGAUCAAAUAAAGUCUGUAAACAAACAUAAAAUUUGUCACUUCAAAGUAAAUUCUUCUUGGGAAAAGUGAAUCAGCAAACUGAACAAACCAUAGUAACUGUCAAGGACUCUCAUUAAUCUAAUUCAAUUAAGAAAACAUAACUGAUACUCCAUACUGAAUACAAAAAGAAAUUGUUUCUUUCUAAACUAAUUCAGCUAUCAAAUUUUCUUUGUUUGUAAAAAAAAUUUCAUGGGUUUUCUUGUACCCAUUCUCACACUACCUUAUUUAAGGGCUUCAUCUAUAGGUUUCCUUUGGAUAUAUCAACAUCAUAUUAAAAAAAUUUUCACAUUUUACAUCUAAUUUGCUUUAUUCUUUUUUUUUUAAUAAUUCAAUACAUCCUUCUCCUUCUCAGCAACAUUAACCUUUUGCAUAUGUUAUAUUUAACUACGCAACAUUAUGAUCCAUAAUUCAUAGCUAACAUUUCACAAUCCAAUAAAAUAUUCCUAGUAAUCUAAGGGACAUAUUAUGAUCACACAACACUCCUAAUACCCUAAUUCACCUUAUCCACGUUGUUGUAACCAUGUGGACUAUAUCUUCAUUAAUAUUCUCAUUCUAUCAAACAAGCCCAAGAUACUUUUAGAAAAAUUCUUGUACAUCUAUUUUAGUUAUAAUCAUACCCUCUAUUUUCUCUUGAUAUUGCGAAGUCACAAUUAAAUUUUUUUAUCUUAAUUCCACUUGAUCUAAAGCUGUAAUUGUACUUAAAAGAUUAUUCAAUUUGCAAAACAAAUUUUAGUGAAGGUUCGAAAGCAUUCAAUAAAAUGAUGAAUGAAUAAGAGUUACAAUAAUUUGCAAUACUUUAUCCAUUUUUAAUCUAUGAAGAAAGGCAUUAAUAAAAUUUGGUUAUAUUUUCCGUACAACUAUAUAUUUAGUAGAAGUUAAACAGUCUAAAUAAUUAAAUGAAAGAAUGGCAGGACAGAGUUAUUUGUUGCUCUUAAAUUAUUGAAAAGAUCUUUGAAAGUCCAGCAACACAAGAAUUCCACUCCAAGGAUGUAGAAGUAUAAUAUACUACCUUUUUUCCGUGUUCAUAUGCUUGAUCCAAUAGAUAUGAGUACUCCAGGUCUUCAAAGCACUUCUGAAGCGAAGAUAAUGGUUCAUUAAAGUAAACAGGAAGGCAUACUUUUGUCAGAUCCUUCCCAACAUUAUCUUUAAUUAUUGACCAAAGGCUAACACCUUUUUCCCUCUCAAUAGGUUUUGGUAACUUCGUACGCCUUUUAGUAUGCAGCAACAUAUUCUGAUAAUUUAGCUGCCCUUCAUCCAUUAUAUUGUUAUCACAACAGUUAUUCUCUAUUCCAGAAGUCCUAUCAGAAUCACCUGAGGCUAUUACUUUAGAGGCAGAAUCACCGAAGCAUUCACUUGUAUCAAAAAAGGAAAAUUCAUCUUCAUCUGACAAAUCAUCAAGCUCUUGCUUUUCAACAUCAUCAGAUGAUUCAGUUGUACUGUACUCUGAUAAAAAAGACAAUAUAAGAAAACAGACAUUUGAAGACAGACUUUUAGUGACAUAUGACAAACCAGAAUCCUUUUAGUUUAUAAUGAUAAAUACCAAGAAAUUGAUAGGUUAAUUGUAUCAUCUCAUUCCUAGUCUCUAAAUUCAUAUACUUCAAAUCAUAAUUAUUCCCUUGGUUCCUAUUCAUUAUAUUUGAUUUCAAUUUAUCCACUGUUUUUUUCAUAAACAUACUGGUUCUUUAAAUGUAUUUGACCAAAUUAUGAAUGACUUAAUAUGAGUAGGAAAGUUAUUACAUCAGAGGUAGUUUUAUGCAAUAGACAUUUAAAUCAUCAUUUUUCCUGUACUUUAUGGAUGUUUGACAGAGAGCUUGACAAAGUCUGUGUGGGAAGCUUUGCUCAUCCCUAUAAAGUUAAAAAGUGAAAAAGUGAGAUAUCUGAUACACUCAGAAACAGGGAACAUUUUGCUGAAUCACACAGACAUGCUGCCAAGUAUCAACCCUACCAAGCAAAAUUAGGCUGCAUAUCACUGAUGGCUUGGUACAGCUACUAAAGUUCAAUUCUUAUGCUUUUUGGUUUAGAGCUGAGACUGAUUCACCAAGUGAACCAAUUGAAGCUUGUAAGUUGUGACUUGAAGCAACCUAGGUGCUUAGCUAUGAUAUUUAGAUGCCUUUACCAGAUGGGGUUGCUAGUUUCUUUAACUAGUAACAGAGAUGAGGAUGGUUUUUUUUUUUUUAUCUUUUUGCUAUUCCAUUCUUCCUCUCUCUUCUCUUUUUUUCUAAUAAAAAAAUUUCAAAUGGCCAAAGAGUAGUUCCAAAGCCUCCAAAAGCUUAAGCUAAUAGAAGAAGGACCAAAAUUCCACAUAAUCAAGUAAGCUCUAAAACCAACACCCCACCCCAACAACAACAGAAGAUGAAGAACAAAAAGAAGGAGCCAUCCAAGGUGAUUAAGAGUAAAAUGCUUAGUGGGCUUUGCAUGUUCAAAGCAAAAUAUGAUAGUUUAAGCCAAAAAUAGGGUAAUGGGAUUCUCAAUAGACCCAGACAAGGUGAAAGAUAAAGAAAAAGAAGCAGAAAAAAUAGAUACAAGUUUCAGACACAUGACGCACUCUGACAGCAUCAUGAAAUAUUAUUUUGUUGACUGCUCUUGCCAAAAGCAUAAGCAAGUAGGAAACAUACCAAAAUUACACAAUAUUUAGCAUUACCAAAAAGUAUCGACAACAAAAAUACUACUGCUUGACAAAUUGAAACUGGAGUUGGAAAUACCAUUAAAUUUUACAUGUGCAGAGCUUGAAUAAUCAUACUUGGUUAACUGCACUUGAGCUUCACUAAUUCCCACAUCUAAAUCAACUUCCUGCAAAUAUAAAUAUUUUUAGAAACGAUAUAUUCAAGAAACAAAACAGGUUUUUAAACCUAUGAAAGAAAAGGAAACUGUCCCUGGCCCCCUAGCAGGGGUAUAGUAUCCUGUAUAGACCAAUAAAAUUGCAAAAAAUUGUGUAUAUCCUUGCAGAUAUUACUAACAUACUGUAUAUCCUCCAAAAACAUUUCUGCCAAACGCCUAUUAGCUAUUUAUUAAAAGUGACUAUUGUAUCCUCUGUUUGAAAGAACUCACUAUGAAAGGCUUCAAAUGAAUUUGAUCCAUUAAAUGUUGACAUGGCAUGGAUCUAGAUCAUGCUAGGACUGACAUGGUACCAACAUUUUGCAGCAACACAAUGCUGAUAAGGUGAUGAUAUGUCAAACACAUGAACAUGAUGUCAACAAAUUUUGACCUCUAUGCACCAUGUGACAGCUACAUCAUGAUUGCGAAAUCAUCACUAUUGCACUGCCAUAUACAUGCUGUAUAAUCAUUGCCACAUCAUCCCCAUGGCACCUGAUGCUAACUUCAGGAUCAUGUGGCAAUGAUAUGGUGGCCAUGUUAACAGCAUUAUUUUUUGUUUGCACGAAGGCAAUUUGGUCUUCUAUCAUGCAUCAUUUAAUUAAUCAUACAUUUAAUUAGAUUUAACUCAGAUAAGUAACAGUUAAUAAUGAAAAUUAACAAUGGGGAUAACUGGUGAAAAGGUUGUAAGAGUAUGCAGGGCAUUCUAGAUGUUUGCAAAUCAUAGGGGUAUAUAUAUAUAAUUAUAUAUACUUAAUACUUACACCAUACCAUAUUGGGUACACCAGAAAUUGCCUAUGGAAAAUAUCUGUAAGGUAGAAGAUCUAUAACAUCAUUAAGACAACUUUUAACGGAAGACCACGACAGCUAAACAAUUAGUUAGUGUACCUUAUUAUUUAGCAGUUUCAGAAAAUUCUAACAUAGAAUUACUAUCCAGGAAUCCACGAAACUUCAAUAGACAAGCUCAAUACAGAAAUAGCAAGUUCGGUAUAGGGAACAAUCUUCAUCACCAAAGGAAAAAAGGGCCAGACAAAUAGAACAUGAUCCAUGUGCUUUGAGUAUGAACAUCUCAAAACAAAAAAAAAGGAUCCUUGGAAUUUGACUAUUCAAAAGAAAGCAGCUGAAUUUUCUAGAACAUAUGCCACUAUGGAAAAGCAGCAAACAUCAUAUGCAACUGUGAACAUAUGCAACUAUGGGAAAGAGCAAAGUCAUAAUUUCAAAGCAAAAUAAUUACUUCACCUUAUUUUGCAUAAAUAAGCAGACAAACAAUACCUUUAACACCUGGAAAGAGACCAGAUUCAAUUUGCAAAGCUAAAACAUAAUAAGAAAGCAUGCACCUCAAGUUAAUGGAUAGAAAGCAACAUUAUUAUAGCUUAUGACAUAUUUGGGCAUUUUCCAGUCAAUGCCAUCAAAAUCCAACAGUAUCUGAAAAGGACAAUUCCUAAAAUAAUCUGCUUAUGAUUCAAUACGUUUUUUAUGUACUUGGACUAUUACAAACAAUAAACGAAAGGAUGACAAAUGACGCUCAGAAGAACUUUUCGUUUCCCAUACUAGUAAGUCUAAUGAUCUGCAGUCUUCUCCAAAGUAAAGAACUAAUAAAAAUAAUGCUGGUUGAAAUACUAUAGUGAACUAGCAAAACAAAGAAUAUCAUCUAAGUCUAAGAUACUAAAAAUAAUCAAGCCACACGUUGUUGACUUUGUUCAAAAAGUACCUCCAGCUGCCGAUGAAAUGUACUAAUAGAGCUUAAGUGCUCUUCAUAUUGAAGCUUCAAUUGUCUGUGAUACUCAGAAAACUCUGAAUGAAUAAUCUGCUCACAGUCCCUUAUGAGUGACUCAUCCAAGCCCUCAACUUGCAUUCGAGCUCUAAGCUUUUCAGUUGAAAUCGAUGCAUCAUUUGGAAUGAAAGAUAUUUCUCUACGUAAUGCAAAUUCUUUUGUUGCCAAAAUCAAAGCCUGAAUCCAGGCCACACGGUCUAUGCUCGAACGGGUCCUCAAGCGAAGUGUCUUUGUUGGAGAAAAUAUAUAGAAUCUUCUGUCAUCUGUCUUACUUUCACGAAAUGAUGAGACCUGAGGCAAGUACAAAAUAAAUUCAUUAAAACCUGAAUGACAGUAUGCUUCAUGCCAAAGCGGCAUGUUGCUUCAAGAAUCUGCUCUAUCAACAAGUUCCAUUAGUAUCACAUUUCAUGCAUGCCACUGGCACACAUGAAGCAGGUUAUCGCACUUCAUUGAAAAAGGUGAAAUAUGCAACAUGUUCCAUUCAUCACAAAGUGCUCUGCUCAUUAUUUUUUGAAAUAAAGUAGGAUAUGACCAAGAAAAAAAACUUCACAGAUAGACAGAAAGAAAAUAGAUGUAAGAGGAGAAACAGAAAGACAAUAAAACCAAGAGAUUCAAAAAUACUACAAAAUCUUAGAUUGAAAAUUUUUCAACACUCGAAACCUAAAACAACUUAUAUGAAGAUUAAAAAGCAAUAAGGUCAACAACACAUUUGAUGCUUCAAAGCUGGAAGUGGACCAUCACGUUGACAGAGAUGUAAGGUAAAGUAAUUGUUCAAAAAGGAUUUAUUGAAAUCAUGAUUCACCUUUCCGGUCUGUAUAGGAAUAUCGAUCGGUCGUCGGUACAGUAUGUACCGAACCAUACCGAUGUACCGACACACAGUAUAGUAGGGCGUACCAACAAACCAAUAUAUACCUCUCAUAUCAGUUCCCUAUCAGACUGGUUCAUACCGCCCAUACCAGACGGUACGUUACGGUAUGACGAACUUUAAUUGAAAUUAUGAAGCAGACAAAAUAAUAAGAGUGCCAAGUAAACUUAUUGUUCUUUGAGAUACUUUGUUAUAUAGAUUGUAUCAUAACAAAGUACCAAUUAAAUAAAUAUGGCUCCAUGCAAGCAUAUCAAGACUAAUAAUUUAAAUAUCACAAAAGAGUAUUCAUGCUUUGGUUGAUAUCAAAAUAGUGCCAACUAUGUUUAAGAACCUAAAAUUAAAUUUGGUCACUCAUGUUUCAGGUACUACAUAUAGAUACAUAAUGAUAACAUGAAUAAGAGAAACAUAACGGCACACGAUUAUUAAUGGAAUGAAUGCCUUAGCGGCCCAUCUUGUAGCCUAAAUUCUUUGGUCCUAGAAAACAUUUUUGAGCAGAUUGGUCACAAGAGAUUAAUUUAAAACUGAUGUAUGGUUACAAAUGAAAUUUCAUCCUAGAUGUUCAUCCAGGUUUUAUUCAUCACAGAAAGAAUAAGCUCUUCCCUACUAAGUUACAAAGUAAAAGUUUCCUUCACACAAGCAAUCGUUUUUUUCUCUCAAACAAGCAAAAAUGUAUGGUGCCUAUGUUUAACUUUGGUGUGCUUCUAUUUUGUCAAAGACCAAAAGAGAAUUCAAAAUUCAUUUCAGCUUUCCAGGCUGGAGUGAUCAAGCAAGUUAGUGGCAAGUUCAUAUUUCAGCAUGAAGAUCAUAGAAGUUCAAACUGUUGGACCCGCACUUGCAAACUACUACAGUAUUUCCAGUUAAAAAACAUAAUAACCUAGACUUAUCACUUAAAUAUGUCCCCCCGAGCACUAUAACCUGUCAAAAACUGCUGCUUUACCUUACAAUAUUGAGUUGCCAAUAGGUUCGUUAGAGUAAAUAUCAUCAGCACUUUGUAGCGUUUAUCCAGAACUGGUAAAACUAUUGGUCUCAAACAACACUAAAUUACGUACAGGCAAACCACUCUAUGUGACCACAUUUUGAGAAUCAUUAAUCUACACCAACGAAAUACGCUAAGACAAUAAAGAGUGUUCAUUGCUCCCUACCAUUUUAACAAAAGUUUUCUUUUUUAAGAUCGGAAGCAUAAGCAAAAAACACUCUUAACCAUAGGCCCUGCAGCUUCAUCAAAAUAAAAUAACAGCAAUAACAAUGAUAAUAACAAUAUAUUAUUUUUUGCGCCUCCUAAGUCAUAGGGCGGACUCUUAUUCGGAGGUGCCUCCUCCAUCCAGCGUUCGCAUACACCUUCCGAUCGUGGAUUUAACAUGGGGGACCAAAAACCACCAACGAAGAAGCAGAAGCUCGAUCAAUUCUCACACGAACGAAGAAGGUGCGAAAUUUCUCGGUAACAACGCGUCUCAAAGCUGGGUUGCUUACUAAAACAGAGUCCAAAGUGCACGAACGAAGAGAUCAAACGACAAGGAAGAAGCAGCGCAAUGAAUCAACACGAACCGAAGAAGGGAUUCAACCGGAUCAAGACACAUAAAAACACCCAUGGGUAAAGCAGAGCUAAGAGAAUGACGUAAUGGGGGGGUGGGGGGGGGGGAAACCAAAGCGGAAGAAGAGAACAAACAAUAAGACAGAGAAACAAGAACCAGCCUCGGACUGCUUGCUUGCUUGCGUCAAAGAAUCCAAUCGCUGAGGCCAAAGUCCAGCUGUCGCUGCUCUCCUCUCUGCGCCCUUGUGGCAAGAACAGCAGCCGCGGUACGGGUCGCCCGUUCCUGAUUAUUUAUAUACAUAUCCCCGUUGGCCUAAGCAAAGGGGACAGACACCACCCAUCGACCUCACAAGAGCAAACGAGACCGCUCCACCGUCGAUGCCCUCGUCUCCCUCUGCCUCUCCUACUUCAAGAUACAGAUUCCCACGCAGCUAUCAACGCCAACAGCCAAGGUAGGAGAGGAGGAGACGCGACUUCCGACCCCCUGUUCCUUCGCCCAGCCAAAUGAUGCGACCCACCCUUGCCAGUUUUAGCCAGUGGCAGGCCGGCACAUGGCUCGCUCUCGGCGUCUGGCUUCCGAGGCUUCAUCCCAACCGCUCAUUCGAUUUAGUAAAUGAAUUUAUUUAGAAGCGACUGUUUCAUCUCCUUUUUCUUCUCAUAAAAAUUUCGAUUUAAAUGCAUUAACCCAAUUCGAAUCAGCCGACGAUCACAUUCCUACCAUCCGACUAAAUCAAGAAACGAAAUAUUUAUACUUGGAGCGCCGUUCAGGUGAUCGAUCGCUUCCUCGCUUACCUUCAGAUGAACGACGCGCACCGGCUUCCGGGCCCUACGGCCGCCCCCGUGGGAGAAGAGAGCGGCGGCGCUCCCGAUGAGGCGGACCCCGCCGCCGUCGGGCACCAGCGGCGGGUCCCCGCGGCGGAUCUUGGAGUAGGACAGCACGCCGCUCUGGAGGGAGAACCACCGGUACCGCCAUCCCUUGCCGAUGUUGGUCCACUUGCAGAGGACCCCGGCGACCGCGACGGAGAAGCCGUCGCCGUAGCCGUCGCGCCCGGGCGGCGGGUGGGCCGGCACCGGCGGAGACCGCCCGCCGAGCUCGGGGCAGUCGAUGGAGAUGCAACAGAGGGGGUGCGGCAUCUCCCGCGCUCGCAUCGCGAUCGAGGAUUGCGCUCCGAAAACUGGGUGCGAUGCGGGGGGAUUUAUCCGGCUAGGGCUUCCACGUCCGUUCGCGGUCUGGCGGAGAAGCUUCGGAGGAAGCGGGGAAGGUGCGGUUCUUAUAUGGUAUCAGCCUUCGGCCUUCAUCCUGCUGUGAUGCCUGUACGCGAAUUUCUCGUGAUAGGGAUGUGCGCACGCGAAGCAGAAGAGGGAGAGGACGGAGGGAAGACGAGAUUUUUAUGCGCUUCAAAGAAACGUAGGACGUCGCUACUGUUACUGCAUGUUGAUGUAUCAACCAAGACCUAAUUGUAAUCAGAACCUGGAAAUGAGCCCCAUUAGUAGAACAGGGGAACAUGACAGGUGAGUUAGAAGGCAGUUGAAACUGAGUUAGGGACCAUUCUUGGAGCUUAUGUUUGUGAUGCUUCAAAUCUUACAUUUGGACUGAGUUAGAUUUCAUCAAAUCUUAUAUUUUAAUGUUCUUUUUUACUUAGUCCAAUCUUUUAUUUUUGCAAAUAAUUCCUUAGGGGGCAAAAUUAGAUAGAGAAUCUAAUAAUAUCUGAAGAGUACAUAUUUGUAUUAUUAUUAUUAUUAUUGGGGUGAAUUUCUAGAAAACUCUUCUUUUAUUUUUUUCUCAAGAAGUGUCUCUUUUUCCAUAUUUGUACCUGAUAUAAUUAAUAAUACAACUUGAAUAGUAUGGUCUAAUUUCUUAAUUAUAUAUUUUUUAAUAAGCUUAUUAUUUUUUAAAAAAUAUUAUAAGUCUAUUCAGAAAUAUGUAGCUGAUGUGGACGUAUCCCUAUUUGGUUAUUAUUAUUCCUAAAUCAAUAAUGAUAUUUAUUUAAAAUUAUUUUUAUAUAUGAGUUGAUGAUAAGAAAUAUAUUAAUGACCAAUCAUUAUCCAUCACAUAAGCGUUCACAUGGAGACUAUAAGGAAAAGAUUCACGUCACUUUUCAUCAAAGCUAUCUAUCUUUCUUAUUGUUCAUAUGGAUAAAACGGACAUUGGAGCGGUUAUAGAUUGUGUCAGACCAAGUAUAAACGCUACACUAGAAAGCUCUUUUUCUUUUAGAAAAAACUCAUACCUACUAAAAAAAUAUUAGUCACUAACUUUAACAAAGAAAGGAUUAGAUCGAGAAUUUUUUUCUGACAUCAAUCUUAGUGCAGGUGAUGCCUCAAGAACCCGAUACUUUCAUCUCGAAACUACCUUGAUCAUCACCUUAGAUGAUCCUGUGCCUUCGGAUUUAGAUCACGUCAUGUAAACUCCGAUAUCGAUGAUAAUUUCCCCCAAUAAUUGAUUUUUAUUGAGUUUUGAAUUAAUUUACCUUAAUUAGAAUAAAUAAAGUAUAGAAGCAUAUUUAAAAAUAUUAUAAUUGAUAUUAUAAAUAUUAUACACGAGGGAUUUAUAACAUGGUAUAGGUGUUUAACAUAUUUACUCUGGUAUUUUAUGAAUUAUGAUAAAUAAGAGAUGUGCUUUAAAAUAUUAAAAAACUUUAAAAAAAAGUUUGUUUUAGAAAAAAGGCACGCUAUAUAUUAAAAUGAAAAAAUAGAAUUUUUGUCGACGUCAAUCAACCAAGAUUUGGGCAUCAGGAUGAAAAGCAUACCUAAAUUAUCACCCAUUCGUGAACACACCAUCGUCCUCCAAAGCAACGAAAGCGACUAUCGAGGAAAUGCAUGGUGAGUCCCACACAUGAUGAAGAUGAUGAGAAGUCGAUAAAAAGCGGAAAGCAACGAGACUUCCCACCCCGUACGCCCAUGAUUAGACUCUCGGUCAUUGUUCCCAACAGUGGGGGACUGUUGAUCGUCAACGCCCACUAUAUCGGCGAGAAGAACACGGUCGAGCGGGCGAGAUGACGAAGGGGCGGAUGCCACUUCGAGCUAGCUGAGAUGACGGAGGAACGAGGCCGGCAGAAUGAUCACCUCCCCAUGUGCCCUUGUCAUCAUCUGGCUCAACCCUGAACUCUCCCUCGAGCUUACGGUGGCGUGGCGUUGCCGAGCGAUAAGUGCCAUGGUCGCGGCCGCUGUACUCCUUUUCCACUACGGGGAACCAGUGGCCACCUUAUCUGGAGAUGGUAGGUCCAGGUGCUGCAGACAGAGACCAGAGCAAAGGACGUCCCUAGUUUUGAUAAGAUUUCUUCGGUGUUAAUUGAUUCAAGACUCUCUCUCUCUCUCUCUCUCUCUCUAUUAUUCUUUCUCUCUCUGCUAUGAUCAGGAUUACCCUGUGUUACAGAUGAACUGUAAAAAGCAGGAGACACCUUGUGCUUUGGAAAUGUUUAUCGGACUUGGCUAUCUUCGGAAGGAAGAAAAAGGAAGCAAGAAAGAAAGAAAUGGGGUUGGAAUCUGCAGUCCUGUGGCAAUUACACCAUCAUAUUCUCCAUGUUUAUAUUGCUUUUGUUGCAGGCAAAAAGAAGAGAGUCACCAAAUGGUUGGGACAUUGUGAAACAGUGGACUUGGUUUGCACUCCAUGUUCUUGGACCUUGGUGGUUGGAUGGCAUGAAUGGACGACACGGACUGUCGACAAAUCGACAUACGUGAACUAUUUGGAUCUGAUCCCAACAUGAUAUCUCAAAUGUGUCUAAAGACCUCGUAGCGUCCUUUCAGGAGCAGUGAUGGUGGACGCCCAUGUUAUCGUAUCUACCUAAUGGCAUCUCGACCCAGGGAAAACUCCAGUCGCAUGAUUGACACGCACCCACUUUGCCAGCCAAAUAUGGAUGAAGAUGCACCAGCGUGCUAUAUGAUUAACUGCAGCUAUUCACUGCUGUUACAAAGAAUGAUAAUGAUAGCUUGACCAACAAAGCAUGGCAUCAUGGUUGCACCAAUGAUCACAAAAAAAUGAGGUAGGGAUGCAGGAAGGACAUGCCAUGGUCUGUGAAGCUGUGACAUUUAUUGAUCAUUUACAGUGAAUCUCGGCAGCUGUCUGCAUGUUCUUCCCCAGCUUGCAUUGCAUCGCAUUGCUGGUCCACUGAACUAAAGCAGUCAAAAUCAACUGAACUGGAGACCUAAUCAACCUUAUUAGUACAGAGAAGAAGGCUUUGAUGUUUGUAGGUUGGUAUUUGUUCAAAUGACUUACGGUCAAUGUGAGAUUCGCACAGCUUGGGGACUUUGAAAAGUUCAACCUUCGUUGCAUCGUGAGAUGAGGAGAGUACAGUUUCCACUGGACUUAUGGUUGGGAGAAAACAUGAAGGAUUCCUGUGAGUUUGCAGUAGGGUAAUAUACUCCAUGGUUGAUUAGCUACCGGGAUCUCUCUCGGUUCUUGUGGUCUUUUACCAACUCUCCCACAGCUGGAGAAUCUAAAGACCGAGCUUUGGGGCAUCUUCUGGUGCUUCAGGUUUCCCUUCUUGUCUUGUAGAGAGCUUCUGUUUUGAAUUGAUGUUCACAUCCAGUGAGGGCCACAUCGUGAGUGGAAGAUCCACCAUUGGAAGAUAAGGCCUUGAAAGAUGUUGACUACACUUCUGAGGUCGCAUAUUGUGCACCAACCAAUUCUUGCAUACCAAAUUACCUCUUUCUUUUGUUAUGUCAUAAAUGGAGUGAACGAAGCGACUUUAAGGAGUCCGGUUGGCAUACAGAUUUCUGCAUCUAUAGACGGAAUGUUCCAAAGGAGAGACUUCCAAGUUGAUGUUCAUUCAAAUCUAUUUCUUGUUUCUGGUGAUGAGAUAUGGAGUAUCCUUUCUCCUGUGGUUGUGUCUAUCUUAUCAUGGGCACGAAUAUUAUCUGUAUAUGCCUUCCAAAUCUGGAGUCUUUGAUGCACAAGCUUUUGCAUCAAGUAUGAAGGUGAGAAGGACCGGUGCUCCUUAUGUCUUCUAUUCUGGCUUCCUGUUAACAUCAAACAGCAACCAUCACUGGUUAAAUUUAACAUAAGAGAUCAAAGGAAUACAAGAUGGUAACAGAUUGAACAACAAAAAUUUCUCAUAGAAAAACCUAAUGAUAUAUGACUAUAAUAUCUGAACAUUUUAGCCUAUAGUUGGCUUAUGAUUUCACACUGGCAUCCCUUCUACUUGUUGCAUCAAACAAAGGACAAAUUAGAGGCUAGAGAAAACUGCUGGAAGCUUGUCAAAAACUCACCCAUGGUUUUGAUGACAGCGCACACAUUCGACUAUCCAAAAAGGUUUUAAAGAGAAUGAGUUACAGCAAAUGCAAGAAUCUGUUAACUGAGAUGAUAUGUAUAAUACUAUGCAGAAUCAGCUCAAGUAACUGAAAGCUCUAUGUUACAGAAUUUAAGCCUAAAAUUUUGAACUCGAAAUCCAGAAAUGCAAAUUUGACACUUUAGAAAAGUAUUAGCACCUUCUACCGAUGGUUUAAGGCCUUGGUUGAGCGCCUACUUCUAACAGGAACCACCCAAUUUUCCUCACUGGUCCUGUGAGACCUCUUCUUCCCAAGCUCAUACUUUAUGGCAUAGAGAUCCUCACAGAUUUCAUGCCUCGAAAGAGAGAUGAUCCCUGGCAAUAUAUCCUUCUGGAAAUCCCGCAUUCCCCUACCUAGCUUAAACUUGCAUACGUCCUUCCUAGUCUCAUUGUCAAUUUGUUUGGCGCAGGUUGAAAUUCCAUUAUCUCUUAUCUCCUCUAGAUUCAGUGUUCCCAUCUCAAAAGAAUCAGAAGACUGAGGCUGAUCAUUGCCUUCUUCACAAUAAAAUUCCAUCCGCCCAUUGUUAGUCAAUUGAUCCACCGAACACAAUGGCUUCUCUGAAGAAAUAGAUGCAAGUAUCUCAGCUGCCUUGAUAAUUACAUGAUCUACCUCUACUAAAGCAAGCUGCUGUUCAGAUAUUUGUCCAUCCUGUCUGCAGAUACAGUCAGAGCCAUUAACAUCUGAAACCUGUUGGCCGCAAAUCCUUUCGGGCAUCACUGAGUCUAUGUGUGUAGUUGCAGAGUUCUCUGAUUUGGAGAUAACUGCAUGAUCUACGACACUUUUUUCCUUUGAGGCCCAUUCACUGUUUCCAGCUAACUGAUUGGGCUUAAACCCAAUAGGAGACUCCUUAAGUUCAAUUUGUUGACAUUCAUCUGGAACUAUGGCAUGACUUGAUACCGUAUCCUCUUCACUCCCAUCAAUAUUUGUCUCUUUCUCUGCCACAUCUCCAGCAGCUUCUGGUGGCAGAUCGGUGGUACUCCCAGCUGAUGCAUGCAAGCAGUUGUGUUCCCUAUACUUACUGGAAAUUAAAAUAUUCUUUUUCGAAUCACCAUGUACAACAAGAUUAGGUGGGCUGAUAAAUGAGUCAAUAUUUUCCAUUCCAGGUUCAUGUAAGCCUGCAAGUACUGUCCUAUUUGUACUGUCCUGGGCUCCCCCAUUGUAGGCACUCGAAAAUCUUUCCAACAAAUUUUUGUAACAUGCUUCGGGGAUUCUGAUGCCUGAUCUGCAAUCUUCAUUAUUAACAAUGCACUCUUUGUAGUUCCAAAUAUUCUCUAUGGCAUUAUUAUUCUGUUCAGAAGCUUGUACCGAAGAAGGAUAGGAAUCUAUAUGUUCAUGAGGCAAUGAGUCAGCACUCUUUUCCCUUGAAUUUUCUGAACCAGGGGAUACAACAGCAAGCUGAUCGGUGACAGUGGAUUCUUUUGCACUCCCAUCUUUUUGUUCAGAUUUGAUGCUUGAUACUCUCAAAUCAUCUCCAUGGUGGACAAUUGAUGAACUUGUUGAUGGAGAAUGAAGUGUUUCUACAGUAUUUGAAAAAAAAGUAUUAGAUUCAUCAUCUUGAGCUAUGUUCAGGUCAAUGUGUGUAAGUUUGUAUUCUGGUUGUUUCUUCUUGGUGGGAAAAUUGGGAGAUACAGAGCCUCCAUUUUCUUCUAAUCCUGAACAAGUUCCAGCAAAUAUUAAGACAUUGAGUAAAAACCAAAAUAGUGACAGUUAGUGAAGCAAAGUAGCUUUCACAGUUGGCUAGAAGAUGAAAAUCCUGCUGGAUGCCUAUCUCGAUAAGCCUGGCAUUAAACGACAAUUAUAACAAGUUGUCAACAUUCAGAAAAAUAAAGGAAAAGAAGCAUCCUAGAUAUUUCUUAAAAGGAUGUUAUCAGAACUAGGCUGGAUAACUCCAGGUAAAAUUUGUUAUGAGAAACAUGAUUUUUUUUUUUUCAAGGCAAAAUGCUAUCUUCAAUCUUCAAGUAAAUGGUGGUCAGUCACACACUGAAACCAAGACUAACAAAACCAACCAUAAAGACCAAUUCUCAAUCCAUAUAAAUUCAUACUGUCUGACCAAAAUAAGUUUAACAGUCCAUUCUUUAUGAAGUUAUCAGAAAUAAAACACUCAAGGAUCGUCAAUAAAACUAACAGUAUGAAUCUUUAAAUCACAGCUAUAGACAGAAAUUUUAAAUUAUUAUCUUAAUCUAAAUACGUGGAUUUAAGAAAACCUCAGUGUAAGCAAAACAGAUAUAAAACUAGUUAACGUUCCAAUUUGACCACAAUAUAGAAAAGCUUCUAGAAGAUAAAUUUUAGUCCAGUGACAUCCAAAAAGAAAACGAAAAGAUGAAUGGGUAUUGAAUAUGUAAUAUUAUUAUACAAAACACAUCACUAAAGUCUCUGUCGAGACAUCCAUAUUGAUAAGUAUAUUGUUACACUUACACAAGUGAUAGGUCUCAGGUUCAAUUCCACGUAUAAGUGUCAUGUACGUUAUUUGAUUUAAUGAAAAUUUCUUCUAAUUAAAGAAAAAAGACUGCUAAAAUUAUAUUCAAAAGUUCAUUUAACAAGGCCAAACAAAACAUCUACUCAGUUUUAAACAAUUGCAGGUAAAUAGACGUUUCUUAUACUCUGCUAACCAUAAUAAACAUCAAAAAUAGUAGUGUGAUCAACAAAGAACUGGGGAAAAGGGAGAAAAGGAAGAGAAAAGAAAAUUUGUGGGAAACAGAAAGGCUAUUUCAUUAAUUAGAAACUUGUUCUUCCAGACUUGCUUCAUAUAUUGAUAGGAGUUAUGAAGAUGAUAGUUAGUCCUGUCAUCUAAAAAUUCUCAACAAUUAAUAAGAGUUUCAAAAUAUGAUUCCUUACAGUAAAAUAACUAGAUUAAAUUGUACCAUAGUCUUAUAGGAUAUACAAAAUUGAUUUGACGCAUAACACAGACUUUUUUGUUGGCCUACUGAACCAGUCACUGAAAAUAAAGGUGACCUCCUCAAAUUAGCCAAGCAACACUAGGGGCUGAGAAAGAUCUUAUAAAGGAUCCUCCAUGACCUAAAUUGAUCUAACCACAUGCUUUUUGACUCUAUUGAUAUCGGCAUUGAUGAAAUAUGUAGGGAUCCCAAUCGGCAUCUCAAUUGAUAGGCAUAAUAACAAUGAUAUUAUGUCAAAUAAGCAAUCCUUCAACAAACUGAAAUAUCAUGUGAAAGAGGCAAAUUGACGACCCUUUCCAUAUCUGUUGGAUGGUUUGCAAACAAAUCAUUGACCAACAUCUGGAUUGGUUAGAUAUGCAUAAAAUGCACAAGAUCAAACUUGUCCCUGAAUGUUUCAGGCAUUCAUAUUUCUUCUUUCCAAUAAACAAAAGAAUACAACAACAAUAACAAAAUUAUAAGUCCCAAUUAUUUGGGAUCUGACUACAUGGAUCUUUUACCGUCAAAAAAUAAAAAAAUAAAAUAUUAAAUAAUAAGCAGACUUGUUAGUCCCAAUUAUCUCGAAUCGACUACCUGAUAUUUUACUGUAAAAAAAUAAAUGAAAGAAACAUUAAAUAAUAAUGUAAUGUUUUAUCUAUACAUUUGAGAGUUUGGCUAGUUUAAGAAGUGCAAUGCAAGAAGUGUUUCAUUCUAUUCGUGAGCAAAAAAAUAGAUAUAUUUCUAUUUCAAUGAGGUACUAAAGUAUCAAUUUCAUUAUAAAAACUCACCAGCAUCUGAGUGGAUAAAGUCGAGUUCUUGCCAUCUUUCAGUCUGAUGCACAGAAUGGGAACACUUGGCUGUCGUCCUAUGGCCAGAUUUGUUCUGCAUUUUGAUUACCGAACAAAGGUCAGAAAAAGCAGCAACUCGAAGAUGACUGAUAUCCAGCAUAAUCUGCAAGUGCUUCGAAGCCAGAAGAGCAACUGACCUUAACCUCUGUAGCACUGAAGUCGACCUUCACAUGCCCUGCACCAAACAACACAUUGAUCAAAACAUGGACCGGAGUACUUUUGCGAAGGCAUUUGUGACAUCUUUGGUGGAAUCCUUGAUAAACUCACCUGCAGGAAGUUGAAGAUCGAAGUUCCUCCUAUCGUUGGCACGCAAUUCAAAUGAAGUGUUCUGCAUCCCCAUCGAUUUCGCCUGCGGAUUGGUAUCGAAGUAUUAGAAUCGGAAGAUCUCCAUGAUUCACCCACCAAUAUCCCAACCCAAGGUUUUGGAACAAGCCCUAGACGGGCGCAUCUUACCGUGGAGCAGCCAUGUCGCACACUGCCGGCUUUUACCUCCUCCACCGGUCCCUUGCGUUCUUUCUGUGCCUCGAGAGACGAUACGCGAUCAGAUCGUCUCCAGCGAACAUCAUUCAUCAAAUUCUUCUGCGUCCAAUACAGGCGAUGGAGCUCUCGCACCUACAAAUCGGGAAGCCCAAACACCCCCUCGUGCUUUCAAGAAACCAAGAACAGAGCGAGAAGGGAUUCAUAGAAGCACAGAAAAGGGGAAACAAGAACCUGGUGCUUGAAUAAGAUCUCGUGCUGAAUCAUCGCUCGCUUCAGUUCCUCCUUCACGUGGUCCUCGUAGUCCGGUGGCGGCAAGUGGUUUAGGUCCAAAACACCUUUCGUCGACGCCAUCGUCGUCGUCGUCAUCACAGAUACAAGCACUUCUUCACAUCUCAAGAAUCUCUUGUCAAAGACCCUAAGCUACCGUCGUGGAAGGAACAGAACAAAGCGACGAACCACGGAAGCGAGGGAGGAAGAAGAGUCUUCGAUCUCCCAUGAAUGGAGGCAUACAAAGAGAGGAGAGCGAGCGGCCGAAAUCUAACUUUCGGCGCUCUUCUCUGCCGUUGCCGCCUGUGCCGUUGCUUUUGUUUCCCUUCCUUCCCCUUUCCUCCUUGAUCCGCACCGUCGUCAGCUACUGCUCAUGUUGUGAUUACUGUCAAAGGAAACACCAUCAAAAAGGAAAACAUAAAGAGAGCUUUUGUCUUCCUCCUCCUCCUCCUCCGUCUGCUCCUGCAGUUACUCUACCUGGAAAAAGAGACAGGAGACGUUCAUGUGCCGCGCGUUGGUUGCCGAUUCUGCCCUUGCUCGAGCACCACGACUCCGGCUGCCUCUAUCAUCCGCGCUCCGCUUCCUCUCUCGCGGGGAUCGCGACCGCAAUCGGGAUCGACUCCUGCUGUCACCGAUCUCGAGGCGGAACGAGGAGCAGCCCAGCCUAUCGCAUCCCCGACACAAGCCUUCCUGGAACGAAAAAAGGAUGAAGUGGCCGUGAAUCAAGAUUCACAGCAGCGCGACAUGGUCGAUCAAAGAAGCCGCAUGUCAUUGGUCUGUUGACAGAGACAGUAACAGGGGGGAGUCGACGACGUGAUCGAUGGCCAUUCACAAGGUAAAACAAACACCAUUCAUCUGAAGUGCAUGAUGCCCGUCUGUUGUUUGUGGAAUUUACCGGAUCCAAAGAAUCAACAGUAGCACAUUUGUUGCUUGCUAGGACCAGUAGUUUGGCUAUUCUCGCCAAUUAGCAUGUUCCAAGGGUGACAGACUUACGGUUCGGCUCAAAGGACCACGUCGACUUCCUAAUUCUCACUCUGUAGCGAGACAGGACACCACACUAUAUGGCCGAACGAGAAAGCAUCGCCCCAUACAUCAGGCGGUACGGCGGCUGCUGUGCGAUGAACAGUGAGACGGGCGACGUCGAUUUCGACCUGCAGAAGAUGGACGUGGCUUGAUGGAAUCGUGAGAAACGUGGGUGAAGGAGCGAACGGUGAUCGUGGAGCUCCAGCGGUUGGAUGCCACUCGUUUCGGUCGGCGUUAAACGCGCGAGCCUCGUGGACGUGGCGCGCGCCACACAGUGGCACUCCGUACGGAUUAGGACACGAGUUUGGGUGAGAUCUCUCGUAUAUGAGCGCUUGCCCUUUUUCGUAAUUGCAGUAUACCUCAUUAUUUUAUCUUUGAUCGGAGCGGAGACGGGAAGAGUGAGACCAUCUCAUGUCACGUCACCGUGGCAUGACAUGUCGCAGCGCGAUCUAUAUCAGGCACGGCGACUGUUUGAUUGAUUGCCCAUGAGAGGGAGGAAUCAGAUGUGCGGGGACGUGGGACUCGGAUCAUUCCAAUUCGACACCUACUCCGUCAUGUUUCUGCUGCUCCUCUGCAGCAGGCUGUGCUACCAUUGGGCGGUCGGUGUCAGGUCAGUGGUCCCUUCAUGUAGCAUCUUUAUCGUGGAAGUUGACGUUAUCUACUCCUAGCACAGGCGCACUACGCCAACUCUCUCUUCAUGUUAAUAUAUUGUCGUAUUAUUUUGUUGUAUGGUAUGUCAGUUAAUAUCUUGUUAUGAGGAUAGACGAGGUCGAACAAGAAGCCCCUCCUUCAAGAAUGAUCAUAUCUUUGACGUCUUUGAUGACAAAGCCAAUAUAUACAUGAGUGGAGUGCAUGUCAAUCUUUAUUAUAUCCUCUGAUCUAAUACCAUGAAAGCUUCUCGGGUGGAUAUAAGGAAUAUAGAUCAUUUGUGUUAGUGAUAAUCUUUAAAAGAAAAAAAUAAAGAUGAUAUGAUUAUAAAAGUGAUAUAUUCCAGUUCAACCAGAGGUGCAAAAAACAAUUGUCAAUGAGACUCCAAAUCCAAAAACUCUUAUAUUUUCGUUCCAUUGUCCAAGAAUUAUUAAAAAAAAUAGAAAGAAAAAAGAAUUCUAUCAUAAACAGAGUCCCAAAAUAAUAAUGCAAAGCGAUAAUUAAAGAGAAAGUGAAAAGAAAAAUCAUUAUUCAGGUGGCAAACUGAAUAAAGUUCAUGCUAUCCGUGAAAGAAUGACAUACAUUAAUUGAUAUUUAGUAGACUAAUCUAACACGAUUAAGUAAUUAAAAGGUCCACAUUAACUAUCUCUCCCAACGACCACAAAUUAUCCAGGUGGAUCCAAAGAGAUGUCUCUGGCUCUUUAUUAUGCAUUGACUCCCCAACUAAGAGGCUAUGACAAAACCAUAUUUAAUCUAAUAUUAAUUAACGAGUUGGAUAGAUAAUACUUAAUAAGGGCUCAAAAUGACUCUACUCGGGUAUAAUGAUCAAUGCUUCAAGAACAUUAAUCGUCUGUAGAAAUUAUAUGUAAGAAUCACCUUCAUGCUCUCCAAGUUACGUCUGUCAUUCCUAAUUGUUCAUAAUGAUGUUGAUAAUGAUCCUUUGCAUCGUAGCUGAGGGGUCAGCACAGCUUGGUUCGGUCCCAGGUGCACGAGAUUAUCCACGUCGGUACUCAGGCGGUGGGAGUCGUCGUCCAAUAGGGUCGGGCUCGGGCUUUGGCUUCAAGAUAUGGAGACUCUCCUUUGGUUGGUCGCCUUCCUCUCUAUCGUAUGUCGCUAUACACAGGUAGGGGUCAAGAAGGAGACUCUCGACUUUGAACCCUUAGAAGAUUUUAUUAGAAUUGGAUGAAAAAUGGGCCAAGAAUUGAUCCCUUGUCGUCGACCCCGCGAUAGGUUUUUAUCCUUUAGCCCGGGGACCGACCGUACCUAUCAUAUUUAUGGUUGUCGACCCAUCGAGCAAUGGGCUUACUCCUGGAGCAAAUGCUGGGCAUCCUCAAUGCCAUGGCGUCGAAAAGCAACGUCACACUCGAUGUCGUCUCGAUCUUUACGGGACGACGCUGUACUCGAUCAGCGUCAUCCCAAUCUUUACGGGACGGUGUUGUACUUGGUUGGCAUCAUCCUGACUUUUGUGGGAUGACGCUAUACUUGGUUGGUACCGUCCCAACCUUUGUGGGGCGGCACUGUGCUCGGGCGACAUCAUUCCGCAACACCAUCCCAACCUUUAUGGGAUGAUACUGUGCUCGAGCGACGUUGUCCUGCAACACCGUCCCGAUCUUUACGGGACGACAUUGUGCUCGGACGAGAUCGUCCUGACUUUUGCGGGAUGAUACUGUACCCGAUCGGCACCGUCCUUCCUUUGCAAAACGGUGUUGACCGUGGGGCAUGGAACGUUAUAUUGAACUUGAAGUUGAUGUGUGUGGAGACGUCACUAUAGAGCUUUACUCAUCCAAAUUUUUGCCUACUUGUUCCUGCAGAUUACUAACUAUGUUGAACAUAUGUCAAGUAAGAGCUUCAAACAGUGUCAGCCGAUGCUCAUUCUAAUUUAUCCCCAUGCAUUUUACUCCCAGUCAAAUCUUGGAUUCCAAUUUGACCAAAGCAGUGCACAUAUUGGUAAUGGGCAACACGAACUAUUCCUGCAACAGAUGCUCCGCAUCUUGAAGCUCCACCUCCUCAUUCUGACCCUCUCUGCUUGCUUGAAACAGCUCCUCAAUCUGCUCCAAGGACUUCCCUUUGGUCUCCGGAACGCAGUAGAAGACGAAUGCCACGGAGAGAGCAGAUAUGGCGGAGAAGAUGAAGAAGGUUCCUGCGACCGUGAUGGCACGGGACACGGACAGGAAGGACAUGGCGACCAAGCCGCUGCUCACCCUGUUCCCCACUGCACCCAGGGCCGAGGCCUGAGCUCGCAGUCUCAGUGGGAAGAUCUCGGUACUCAGCACCCAGCAGAUGGGACCGAUCCCCACCGAGAAGAAGGCCACAUUCCCGCAGACCGCAACGAUGGCCAGCCCGAUCCCUGCUGCCGGUGAGAUCAGCCCCGUCCCAUGGUGAUUCAAGGAGAGAGCGACGCCUAACAGGAACAAGCACAGCGUCAUCCCCAUGGUGCUGGCGUACAGCAGCGGCUUCCUUCCCACUCUGUCGAUCAAGAAAAUGGCAACCAGGAUGAAGCAGGUCUUGGUGACCCCGACCGCGAUGGUUGCAGCAAGCAGCUCGCUGUCGGACUUGAUCCCGGCGUCGCGGAAUAUGGUCGGGCUGUAGUAGACGGUGGCGUCGAUGCCGGUGAUCUGUUGGAAACACUGGAUGCCGCAGCCAACGAUCAGCAUGCGGCGCAAUGAAGGCGAAGGGCUCAGGAGCUCCUUCCACACAGCUUUCUCCUCCCACUUGUUGGCGGUGGCAGCCCCAGCCGCCUUCUCUAUCUCCGCCAGUCGCCGCUCCACCUCCCCCUCGUCCUCGAUUAUCUUCGAGAGCACUGAUCUCGCCUCCUCCGCCCUCUUCUGCAUCACCAACCAUCUCGGGGAUUCUGGGAUCACGAACAGCGCGAACCCGAUGAAGACAGACGGAAGUAUGCCGACGCCGAGCAUGAUCCUCCAGUUGACGUGUUCCGAGAAGCCGGAGAAGGCGUAGUUAGAGAUGUAGCCGAGAAGAAUCCCAAGAUUUAUGAAGAUCUCCGGGAAGGAGGUGAGGGAUCCCCUGGCAGCGGCGGGAGAUAUCUCUGCGAUGUAGACGGGCGCGAUCAUGACGCCGAAGCCUAUCCCGACGCCAGCGAGGAGUCUUCCCAUCAUCAGCACUGGGAAAGAAGGAGCGAGCGCCAUUAUAGCGGCGCCAAUCUGGAAGAUGAUUGCGGCGAGAGCCAUGGUCCACUUUCUGCCCACGGCAUCCGACGUUCUGCCGCCUGCUAGGCUACCCAGCAGCGAGAUGAUGCUCAGACAUCCCACUAGAACUUCUUCUUCGACCUCCGUGAUGUGAAGAUCUUUUUGGAUGAAGAGGAUAGCUCCGCUCAUGACGCCCACAUCUGCAAGAUGCAAGCAAGAAGCGUCACCGGAAGAAAUCGAGCUAACGUUUCAGGACCCAAAUCCAAGUACUGUUACAUACUAAAGUGACAGCAAAUAUGGCAUAAUAAGAAGAAUUAUGAUCGAAUUUAGCAAUCGAAAAAGAGAUUAAAGAACAAUGAAACUGUUCUAUCCAUCAAGCAAAAUAGAUGAAGCAGGAAGAGGGAUGAAGAAGGAUAUCCAUGUCCUCGAUGCAAGCAGCAUGUGACGCUGCUUUCAUAGAUGAAAAGGACCGAGAAAGUAUGACCAAAAAGAUUGAAGUCUCCCUGUUGACCAACUAGACUCGUAAAUUUCAAGUCGAACCAACCUUGACUUCGUCUUGGCUGGAAAUGUGGCAACGAACAACGAUGUGGAUGGAGAGAAAAAGAUGCGAUCUGUUUCGGACAGCAAUAGAACCAAAUAACAAUGAUAAUGGUAAUGAAUGGAAAUGAGGAUGCCACCAUAGCCAAGAAGAACGGAAUUAAGGGAGGCGAAGAAGGCGCAGGUGCGGACGUAAGUCUUGCCAUGGCUCUCCGGACUCUUCCUCCUCCUCCCGGCGAACGCUUCGUCAUCCUCUCCCUCCUCGGCGACAUCCACGCUGUGGUACUUGGCCUUGCUAUCGACCUUGCCGUUGCCAAUAGCACGAGGACUGCUGACGCCCAUCAUAUCCACCACUCUCUGCGAGAGAUCUCACAGCCGAUGACCUCAGGAGGAGGAGGAGAGAGAGAAAGAGAUGGAGUUGCUCCAGAUCUAAUAGAGGAAGGGGGAGCUGUAAAGCUGGCUUCUCCGAUUGUAAAAGAACGACUUGCGAUUUCUUUAUCGUGGAUCGGUAUGGGAGGACGGGAAGCGUGCAAGUGGGCUCUCUUGGGAGUUGGAGAAGUCGUCCAUGGAUGGGAUCAGAACAGGACAAGAGAAGGAAGGAACGAAGAAAGAAGGACCGGGAGACCACCACCUCCGGCAACUUCGGAACGCCAGAACUCGACAUUCUCGCCCAUUCAAUCGGGCCCCACAUCUUCGCUACGGGGGACCCGCACCGGGGUGUCGCCAGCGUCCCACCUGCGCAUUAAAAGAAGGGAAUAUGAAAACACAUCGAAAUAUGUGAUUUGAUUGUUUAUAUUAAUUCUAUAAUUUACAUUAAUUCCAAUUCUAAAUAUAUAUAUUAGUUACUUGAAGUAUUAUACCAUAAUUAUCGUAGCGGAAAUGGGUCCCACCAUAAGAACCGUAAGUACAUUUUAAGAGGAGCAGGUCGUUCCUCCGGUGGGCCCGCAGGUAUCAGUUAUCAAGGUAGGACGAGAUGUGUAUAACAUAAUAAUAAUAAUAAUUAUUAUUAUUAUUAUUAUGUAUUAGAUGAGAAGCAAGGAAGCAUUGGCUAUUAGGAAUGUUUAAGUUUUUGUCAUAGAAAGAUAUCGAUCAUGAUUGGAUUAAUCUAAUAUGAUUUAGAUUUAAGUGUAUAAAAAAUCUUCUAAUUUGGCUGAAAGGGUUCGGAUGCUUGUGCUAUGAUCGAUCUAUACGAAUAUCAAGAUUGGAUAUUUUUUUAAUAUGAUUUUUUAAUAUCUUAAUCUAUUUUAAGAAUAAUAAAUAUUUUUAACAAAUGAUCACUAAUAUUGAUUAUAGUGGUCUAAUUGAUUGUUAUAAUCGAUUUAAUUAGAAGAAUUUUUGUAUUUUUUUAACAUUUAUUCGUUGUUUUUCUUAUGCUACUGAGUGGAGCCAUAAUAUAUCCAUCAUUAUCUAUCGGAUAAAUGACCCAAGAUUCAAUCGGGUUUUAAUUAUCUAUAACUCAUUUUAGCUUUUUAUAUAUUUUUUUAACUUAAACUCUAACUAAGUGUGAUAGCUAAGAAAGAAAAAAUGUGGACAACGAUAAUAAGAAAGCAUAGAAAAAUAAUAGAAGAAGGAAAAUGAAGAAGAUAUGAGGAGAUUAUUUUCAAUUAUUCAGACAGUGUUAUCAUCUCAGGUUGUUGGGCUGGCAACCCAUAGAUUCAGCCCAUAGUGGACUUGGCAGCCCACAGCCCACACUCCCUCUUAAUAUAACUCUAAUUAACAUUAGGGGGGUGUGGUGGCUACGUUUUGGAGGUAGAAAAAGGCUUAAAUAAGGCAGCAACGUGGGAGAAGUAUACACCCACGAGAUUCCAAAGAAAAUGAGGAAAACAAGGCAGAAAAGGAAGAGAAAGAAAGAGAAGAAGACAAGGACAACACAGAGAGUCUGUUCUCAAUCAUCUAGCAAUGUUCUCAUCUCAGGUUAGAUCAAAUCUACAGUAGACUCUUGCUGUGAUUACUUAGGAAGGUUUUAGAUAUUGUAGGCAGUGACGUGAUCAUUGUAUCCCAAUUGUUCUCUUGAGAUUGUUGCUAGGGUUUAGGGCAAGAGAUUGAGAUUUGUAUAUUCAUUAUUCUCAUAGUGGAUUAUCUCUAGUUUGCCCCGUGGUUUUUACCCUUCACAUCGGAGGGGUUUUCCACAUAUAUUUUGGUGUUCUGUUUGAUUGUGCUUUCAUUUAAUUCCACUGCGUAUUAUGGUCUUUUAGUAUUUGUUCAUAUAUAAAGGUUAUUCCUGUUUAUAUCCGCACGGGAGUAUCUCUUAACAUAAUUCUUAUAUUUUAAUUAUUCGUUUGUGAUUUUUAUUUGAGUUUUGGAUAAAAGAUUUUAAUAUUUUAAUAUUUAUUAUUAUUAUAAAUUAUAUAUAUAUAUAUAUAUCAUAAUUUUAGACCUAUUAUUAUUAAUGUUUAAUGUUUGCACUAACUCGUAGCAUGAUCGAUCGCAAUGUGGAAUCCUGAGAUAACAUUGCUCGGUGAUUUCAACAUUUCAGUCACCUACCUUAGAAUUGGUCCGCGAGCAAAUUGCAUCAUUUGCUGGAUCGGUCAAACAAAAGAAAAAUGAGUUCUACUUCCCACGCCGGUCAUCUAUUCAUGUGACUUACGCUUACGUUGGGUCAUCUGAAUCGGGCAAAGAGGCUAUACGGAAUGGCCCGCCGACUUAUCUUGUCUAUAAUGCCUACACCUAAUCCGAUGAUAAGCACAGCCACAGCUCAUCGGUUAAGCAUUGUCUACGUGUGGGCCACCUUUAUUUAUCGAUGGCUUUUCGUGCUACCACAUAUAGCACGCAUCCGUGUUUGACUUUUGCCCUUCGAUUUAACAUUUUUAUUUAUAUUAUUAUUCAAAUAAAAGUGAUGUAAUUCAAUAAUUAUAUUUUUUUUAUUUUUAUAAAUAUAAUAAUCUAUUAGAGAAGAUAGGAAAGAUAAAUCGAGAUUUAUUUAAUUCGCUGGAAAUUAAAGCCUGACGCUCUACAAGUACAUGGUCGAUGAUCACGACCGUCGAUCUACUUGCAGGCGCAGGAUUGACGGUGGGGAUCGCCAGCUAUGCUCUUGAACCGUGUCGAGUUUUCCAUGUUGGCGGCCUACGUUUCCGUCCGUUUCCAUACUUGGUUGGUAUUUGGGAAACGUUUUUUCUUGUAUUUGGGGGUUCCGUUUCUCCAUUGAAACUCCAACCGCGUUCGGCUACAGCUUGCCACCCCAUUUCCUAUAUAAAGUAAUCGAGUUCUCUUCCUCGGCCGAUCUCGUCCUUCUCCUCCCUCUUUCUGCGUGUGAGGAAUUGUUCUCGGAAGGCAAGGGUUAGGGGUUCGGUUUUCCCAGUGUAUGGCAGUGAGCUUGGUGUUGAAUGAGGUGUCGGACCUCUGCAUCGGGAAGCCCCCGCUGAUAUCGUUGCCGCUCUCCGCCGCUACCGUCAGCGACGCCCUCCUUGCCCUCAAAAGAGGCGGCGAGCCCCACCUCGCUGUGCUAGAUCCUGACCGGGCCCCCCCGGGGAAGAAGGCCGUCGCCGUCGCUGGAAAGAUCUGCGUCGCGGACAUCCUCUGCUUCCUCUGCUCCGACGACAACCUCGCGUCGCCCGCCGCAGCGCUCGAGCGGCCCGUCACCGCCCUCCUCCCCAAGGGCACCGGCCUCGUCCGCCUCGUCGAGCCGCAGUUUAGGUACUCUUUCAUCCUGUCUUUUUUUUGGUUAAUUUGUAAUGAAUAUGAAUGAAAAUUGUCACCUUUUAGCAAUUUGAUGCUUGAAGAUUCGAUUUUUCAUUUUGCAAUUUGAUUUGCAGCGUGUUGGAAGCCCUCGAUCUGAUCGUUGACGGAGCGCAGAACCUUGUGAUCCCCAUCCGUUCCCUUGGCCGUAAGAAGCUAGACCAGGGCGGCGAUGGCGUCGCUACCGCCGCCAAAUUCUGCUGGCUGACGCACGAGGACUUUGUCCGCUACUUCCUCAACUCUAUCGCCCUCUUCUGCCCCAUUCCUACCCUCUCCAUCGACGACCUCGGCCUCGUCCAGUCCGCCGAUGCCCUCACCAUCCGCCACGACGAGCCCGGCCUCUCCCUCCUCCCCCUCGUCCGCCGCGCCCUCACCGAACAGGCCGCCGUCGCCGUCGUCACCGACGAUGGCCAACUGCUGGGCGACAUCUCCCCUUGCGCUCUUUCUGCCGGCUACAACACGGUGGCUGUGGCCGCCGGCAUCGCCACCCUGAAAGCAGGCGACCUCAUGACCUUCAUCGACCACUAUGGCUCGCCACCGGAGUCCCUUGUCCGCGCAAUAAAAGCCGGACUGAAAGAGAAGGGCUUGCAGGAGAUGCUCCACCUUAUGGAAGAUGAGCUAUCCUCGUUCUCCAACUCGUCCUCGGCCUCGUCCUCCGAUGAUGAUUCCAGCGAGGAGGAAAAGCGGCUGCGGAGGCCGUCGAAGAGCUUCUCCAGUACUGGGAGGCGAUCGUCGGAGCCGGAAGUAUGCCACCCCGGGAGCUCGCUGGUGGCCGUGAUGGUGCAGGCGCUGGUGCACCGGGUGAGCUACCUGUGGGUCGUCGACGAGGAAGACUACGGCCUUAUCGGGAUCGUGACGUUCGCUGACAUGCUAUGCGUCUUCCGGGAGCAGCUUCAGCCAUCUCUCUGAGAUCUCAAAGCAGACAUGCAGCUGUUAUGGAUGCAUUAACUCGCUGUUGUCCGCACUGAGCGUGAUUAAACUAUAAGACUCUGUAAUAUUGUAUCGCACAAUACAUCGAUUGCUCGUACUCGGUUGUUAUCAGAAAACCUAGCUUAGACAGCAGAGGAAGAGCCUGCCUUGUUGUUUCUUGGAUACAGUUCUCUCCUUCAGAUCUGGGCACAUCUCGAGCACUACUAAUUCCUUGGGAAUGCUGCUGAUCCUUGGAUCAGUCGCUGGUCUCACAUCCCUUGUGCUGCAAGAAAAGCAAGUCUGACGUGAUAAAAAUGAACUCAGACAAUGUGCCAACUAUGAUCAUUGAAUUCCUCCAUUAACUACUUCCAACUUGUCUGCAAGAGGUGCUGAACUUUUUUGACCAACUAACCGGCGGCCAUGUUCUUUCCUUGGAGGAAGAAGAACUUUUCUUCACCAAACAUCCUUUUCAGCACCUACAGAACUCAGCCAAGUCCAGAUACUUCAUCCCGGAUUGCAACAAGUAAAUCUAAACUUCGUGGGAUGAUAAAGCUGCAUUUUGUAUGGAGUAACUAAAGAACUUUCGUUUGUAUUUCUAAUUUGCAGAGUCUCACUGUCAUCUAUCUGUUCCUCACAUUGACAUGGUCCAAAGUGAGGUAAAGAAGUCUUGAUCCCGUUCAAAUCGACCUCUCCCCUUCUGUAAAACGAAACUAUAGCGAUGCUUGACAGGCCACUUUGAGUUGGCUGGUUGGUAUUUGGAGAGAGCUUUGGAUUGGGUUGACUCUGACACCGACGUCGAAAAGGAGACAUUACUCUUCCAGUUGUCUACGUGAAUUAGACAUCUCUCUCUCUCUCUCUCUCUCUUUCCCGUCCAUCUUUUUCUUCCUCCAUCGGUGGGUGUUUGGAUCUAUGGGGGCACUAGGACACAAGCAUGCAGAGGAUUGUUGCGAGAAUGGGGAAUCUUAGAAUCAGAGGAUAAGAAAAGAAAGAAAGCAGACUUUGUCCAAGGACAUGGAUAUAUCUCUGACCUUAGAAGACUAUCCAUGAAGAAAACAUGGGGUGUCAAACUCCAUUCAAGAUUGUCUGCUGCUACAUUGUCCAUCUCUGUCACAUCAAAGGGGAAUCUUGAGAAACAAGAAAAAGAAGAAAAGGAAGCACAUCAAAGACUGUUAGAUUAAUAGAAUGUUUAUCUAUUUUGGAGAAACUCAUGCAAUUCUUGAGUUUGCUUGUAAUUUACAUGAGUCUUUUCUGAGAUGUAAAUUACCAAGUAUAACUCAUGUAUUAGAGAAAAAGGUGCAAGUGAGGUUGAAAAAGAAUGAUGAAAGGCUUUCACAGGACAAGAAUUGCCACUUUCAGAGAACACACAGCAUGUUUCUGUAGUUCCUUGGCAUUCUCUAAUCUGUUGCAUGGCAAGAACGUAGUGCUGCACUACAGGAUCGGUAGGGAAGAAACAAUAAUUUUGUUGAAAUGUGAAUAGCAACAAUUAGCAGAUACAUUACUAUAAUUUACAAUAAUUAAUGAUACUUUUUUUAAUUUCAUAGAUUAUAAGUAAUCGAAAUGUAAGUUUCAUGUCCUCGUCAAGACUAGUAUAAUUCAGAUUAAAUUCUAACGUGGUGCUAGCCUAAUAAUAAUUACAUAUCAAAUAGAUUAAUUGAUCUAUAAAUUUUAUUUUUAUCUAAAUCUAAUCAAAAUAUUUAAGCUAAAAUUGAUAACUCAAUCUUAAUCUUAUCAACUUCAACUAAUCAGGAUGUUAUAUAUUUUUCGAAUUAAGUAUCUAAGUAAGGAUAAUACCUUCAUUAAUUUGUACACUAAUCACCUCCCUACCUCCCUACCUCCCUAAUCUCCAUCUUCAAUUUAUCAUUUUUAUCUUUUUUUUAAUAUAUAAAACUCUAAUAUAAUUUCAUAUCAAAAGUGAUAAAAUAGAUUUAUAAUGAUUAGAUGAGUCUAUUACAUUAAUUGAGAUGAAUGAAUUUAUAAAAGAUAGAUAAGCCUAUUAUUAAGCUUUAAUAUCUUUAAUUAAUAGUUGGGUCUGUAAAGUUCUGAUGUGAAUCUCAUCUUUGUCACUUAUUCUUUACGAAAAAAUAACUUAUAUAAUUUUUUUAUAAAAAAAUAUGUUAUCAUUUGAAUAGAAAUAAAUUUAUGAGAUCGAUUAUAUAAGAUUAUAGAAAACAUGAAGUUUUAUCCGAACCUCUAAGCGUUGCAGUUUAUAACAAAUGUAUACAUUUUUUCUUAUUUUUUUUCAUCAGUAUUAAAGAUGAAAAAUAUUUUACACUUGAAAUAAUGAAAUUUUCCUCAAUACUCAUGAAAGAGAUUAGUUUUGUUAUUUCAGACAUAAAUGAGUAACAACAAAAAUAAAAUAAAAAUUAAUUUGAACUCAGCAAGGCAAUUUGAUAUCAGUAAAAUGCAAGUGGACAAUCUACAAAAUUUUCAAGGAAAAUAAAUAUAUUUUUUAAUUUCUAAGUGUAUUCUUAAUAAUAGAUUCCAAAUGCUCAAAGGCAGAAUCUUUCUACAAAAUAUAAAGCUUUCAUAUUUUCAUGCACUCCAAACACAAUUACAAGAGAAAAAAAAUUCAGGAAGUUUUGUUUAUUCGAUAAAGUUAGUCUCUCAUUAAUCUCUAUUUAAUCGCGGAUAAUGUGUUACAAGAUCAAAUUGGGACCACCACGGGGCAUCCUACCUGCCUUAUCAUUGGAGAUCAGAUGGGGCCCGCUGUGUGUUCCAUCUUCCCAGCCAAUCACGAUGGAGGGAGACAACACUUUUCGUUUCUUACGUGCUUUGCCCUUCGUAGACUCGCGGGCCCCCAACCCCAUCUUUUCAGCCCCAAUCUCGAUGCGCUCGAGGGCCUACAUCUCCGUCCACGUGUAUAUACCCUUCGCCUAACGCCUCUCUUCCAAGCAACCAACCAGCCGAUUAAAGCGAGCGAAAGCAGCAGCGUGAUCAGACGGGACUCCUUCGUGUCGUCUUCUUUACCAAAGUAGAGAGAGAGAGAGAGAGAGAGAGAGAGAGGUUUAAGACUUGGGAAUUUGGGGGGGGCGGAGGGACUUUUAGGGUUUUUAUUUCUUUGGAUGAUUGGAGGAGUUGAUGUUGUCGGGCAAUUCAAUGCGGAAAUCGUUCAAGGACUCGUUGAAGGUCCUUGAGGCUGACAUCCAGCACGCCAAUUCUUUGUACGUAGUGCUGCUGUUUCCGCAGUUCUUCUUUGCUUCUUUUUUUGGGUUUGAUUUCUUGUGUUUUGGGUCAAUCGGGUUUCUUGAUAAGUUCGUUGGUUGUUUACUUUUUUUGGGGUUUUUGUUCCUGAUUGCUUUGACGUUGCGCAUAUCGUUUUCUGCUGAUUACUGUGUCUUUCUGCUCCUGAUGAUGAGGACAAAAAAAGCAUAAUUUUGUUGAGUUUUAGCGAUCUAUAGUAAUCGAUAGUUCAAGUAUUGUAGGGUUUUGGCAUUACUCUGGUAAUUGGUCUCCUGACACCGAAAAUUAAAUCUUUUUUAGGUGAUUUUUGGAAGGGUACAUUUUGUAUCCUUAAUUUAUGACAUAUUUGGCUAUUUUGGGUGGAAAUUGGUCAUAGAUGGUAUGUGCAUGUGUCUCGGUGGGGUUUUCUUUCGGUAUAUUGUUAUUUUAAGAAAGAGGUGAGGCUUCCAUCAUCUUCUCAACCUCCACUAAGUUUAAUUGGGAAAGGAAAAUCGGUUUAUCUAUUUUGUUUCGUCUACAUGUCCUUUAAAAUGCUAGUACUGUUUUAGAUGCUUUCUUGCAAUCGUGAUAAUUUUUGCCUUUAAUUUUGUCAAUGCUUCCUCUGUAAGAAGUGGAAUAACUUUAUUUCUUGUUAAGUAAAAUGUAGCUUUAGGAGUAAAAUAAAUGUUUUUUUUUGUUUAAAAUAUUCUUUUACCUAAUCCUUCCUCAUGACUUGCAGGGCAUCAGAUUUUCCCACUGAUUAUGAUGGUGCAUGCCUUCAAAUGCGAGUGUCAUACUGUCCAGCUGCACACUUAUUUCUUUUUCUUGUGCAGUGGACAGAUUGUAGCCUUGCUGGGGCACUUGGACUCCUUAGAAUUAUGAUAUAUAAGGUCUUUAUAUGUCGUCCAUUGCUAUACCAUUAAUUAAAAUACUCUUACUUGCCUCCUGUUGGUUUGUUUACAGUUUGAUCUCUUUUAUUCAUUGAGGAAUAAUAAGAUGUGCAGGUUCAUGCUGAUGGAUCAACAACCAUGUCAACACAUGAAAGAAAAGCUAGCAUUAAAGAAUUCUAUGGUUGGUUUUUGCAAUGGAGUUUGACAAGCAUUCUUCUGUCUUUACCGAUUGCUAAUUUCUUGCUUCUUUGUUUCCUUUGAUAGCUGUAAUUUUCCCCUCAUUGCUUCAACUAAAAAAAGGAAUCACCGAUAUGGAAAACAAAAGGCAAAAGGCAGUAUGCAUGGAAAGAUAUAGACGAAGAGAUGAGGAUGAGAGGAAGCAGUUCUCUGAGACAGAUGAUGAAAGAGAAGAAGAAUGUGGUAUUUGCAUGGAGAUGAACAGCAAAAUCGUAUUGCCUAAAUGCAACCAUGCUAUGUGCAUGAAAUGCUACAGAGAAUGGUAAAAAUAUUUUCCUUUAGGGUUAAAAAGCUGUUGUUUUUUAUGACUCUAUUGAUAAAUGCUUUUUCCCUGACUCGUGAUGAUUUGGCUUGAGCAUACAAAUCCAUUCAGCUCUGCAAGAUAUGAAGCCUUUGAAAUUAACUAUUAGGUUUUUAGAAUUAUGUAAAAUUAUCCUGGGGGUACAACAAGAAAAGAAGAAAAUUUGUUUGGUGUUAGUUGAUGUGAGAUAAUAAUAGCAUUCAUGUAGGAUUUUAAUUUCUGAUUGUUUGGCAAUAAAAAAUGGAAAUAUAAGAAAUGGUGAGGUAGUAAAUGUUUCUUUUAAAAGGGGUAGUGGUUUUUGAAAUCAAAAGAGUGUGCAGCAGAGUGACUUGUCAAUAUACUAGUGUAAUAUGAGACUCCAUAUUUUUCUAAAGCUAAAUGAGAAAAUAAGUCCUAAUUUACUUUUUAAAUAGUUCUUUUUUACUUCUAGGUUACUGAUUUAUUGUUCGUACUUUAAAAAUAUCAUGCAUAUGUGCUUCUGAUACUGUUGAUGUGUUGUAAGGAAAACUUAAGAUGGCAUAUUGAAUUAUUUGUUCUAGAUUGGAGUGGUAGUUUGUUGCUGAUGAGAUUUUCAUAGUGUUAGUAUCAAAUUGGAUAGAAAUCACAGUUUGUUGUAAAAAAGAAAAUGCAUGGUAUGCUAGGAGAUUGAAGCCACGAGCUAUACUUGCAGUGCACGGAGAUUGUAGGCAAAUAAAUGGUUGCAAUGCUGCCAAGAUUUAAGUUGUUAACAUGGUUUUCUAGGAAAAUGAGGAAUUGAAUCUUUUUUGCUUUCUUACACCUAGUAACCUAUUUUCAUAAGACCUCUUAGUACUUUGUUGCCCUGAGUACUUGCCGGAGUUAGAACUUUACAUUUGAUAGGAUGUGUUAUGCCAAUAUAUUAUAUUAGCUUAAAGAAAAGGGUACACAUACAUAACUUUCAUAAAUGGAAUUUGUUACCUCAAAUAUUUUAUUAAGAGCUUUAAUUUGUGUCAUUGGUGCAUAAGUGCCUGGAAGACUUUUACAACUCUAAUUUUAAGACACCUAGAGGAAUUGAUAUGAUAAUCUGUUUCAAGAAAUAAGCUAUUGGUGAUUCUAUCCUCAUGGUCUCCAUGCAGGUUGUAAGCUCGCAUAAACUGGUGCCUGUUAAAUCCAAUUAUCCUCUCUUUACAUCAGAAAUGGGUAAUAGAUGCUUGAAAUUCUUAUUAGAAGUGGAAAAUUAUCAUUCAUAUUUUUUGUCACCGAGGAUAUAGAGUCUAGAUGAAAUUCCCACUUCAAUGCAUCACUAAAUAUGUGGUGAUUGCAUGCACUUAGUUUCUAAAUUGAAACUUAAUUCAUGGAUGCCUGAGCCCAUAUGUAAAAAAACUAAUGCAAUUGUUGUUUAUUGAGAAAGUAGUCUGGAUGAAUUCAUCCGAAUGUAUCAUAGGUUACUAGGUAAUUGGUUUACACAUGUGAACAGAUGAGUAUUUGGAGAAUUCUAUAUUCUUUUGUUUGUUGUAGUGAGUGAUACAGAUGUUGGAGUUAUGCCAGUUUUAUUAUGGCACUCAAGACAGUGCUUGUGGACCAAGAUGUUUCUGGGUUAAUUCAGUACUUCUAUCUGAAUUCUGGAAUUCACUUGGCUAGUGAUGGUUAAGAUAGAUCGGAUAAGUUCCUAUUUUUACUCAUUCUACUUUGGAUCAAGGAUGAUCGUUUUGGGUACUGGACAUGUUUUGGUGAUCUGGUCAGACCAGUAUACUGGUCAGUACCGGUGUACCAUGUGUCGGUACACUAGUAUGUAUCGGUGUUUCGGAGAGAAAGAAAAAGGAGGAGAAAAGGAAGGGAUGGUGGAGGAAGAGGAGGGAAGGAGGAAGGAAGCAGAGGAAGAACGUAGGAGGGAGGAAGAGGAAGAAGCGCAGAAGGAGAGGAGGAAGAGGAGACGAGGAAUACCUACGUGCACGAUGGAGGUGUUUGACAAGCUUAUGGCGGAGGUGUGGUACUGUGCACGGUGGAGGUGACGAAGGUGUGCAGCGUUGUGCACGGCGGGGGCAGUGGAGGUGUGUGUUGUAGUGUGCAGCAUGGGUGAGAAGAUUAGGGGUAGUUUUUCCCAGGGUUCGUCGUACCGUACCGUACCAACGUUUCGAUCCGGGCUCGGUAUGGUACGGUAUCGGUGUACCGAGCGGUACAUCAGGACGUACCGAGUGGUACACCCUGGUGUACCGAACAAUUAUAUAUUUUUCAUAUUGUAGUAGUGCUACAAUAUAAUACUGUAGUACUAUAGCGGUACCGGGCGGUAUGCUCCGGUAUGACAGACCUUGGUUUUUUCCUUCUAUACGGGCAGACUGGACUGAGAGCGGUCCACGUCAUGCUUCACACCCAAACUGGUGUGUACCACCCGAUUCGUACCGGUUCAGGCGAAACGUCAAUCCUUGCUUUAGAUUGUUAUCAUUAUCUUUCAAACCAUUAUGAACAUAUUGGAAUUAUGAACAUGUUGAAUACAACUGCAGAAUAGAAUCCAGUUUAGAAAUGCAUUGGAGGACCUAGAAGAUCAACACAUUCUAAUUGUUAUAUUGACAUUGAAUUCAACUGCAGAGUAAAUUCCAGUUUAGAAUUGCCAUUGGAGGACCUAAUAGAUCAACACCUUCUGAUUGUUAUGUUAACAUUUGACUAAUUCUCUAGUUCUUGAAAAUAGAGCACCAUAUUUUAAGAUCAUUAUUUGAUCUUCCCGUUGGUUCCUUGAGCUUUGCAGUUUCAGGCUCUCAGAAUCUUGUAUCUACUUCUUAUGUGCAUUGGCACAUUGAGCAACUCUGUACAAAAGUUGCCAUUGCAUUUUCAAAAUAGAUAUUACUUAUAUUGUAUUAUUUAUGAUAGAGAACAAAAUGGACCAUCCAGAAACCAACACAUGGACACCUCCACCUCAGCAACGAAGGCCGCCGCCAUGGCAGGACGGUUAUGACAUCUAACCACAGAGGGGGUAGUUGAGCCCUGUUGACCAUCGGUUAUGCCACGUUGGCAGGUGAUUGAGCCACGUUAGUGGAAGUUACGCUACACCUUGGCGAGUGGUUGAGCGAUGUCAGUGGAAGUUAUGCCACUUUGACAAGUGGUUGAGGCACGUCAGUGGAAGUUACACCACCUUAGUAGGUGGUCGAGUCACGUCAGCAGGGAUACUCCAAAUCUGCCAUCUCAGCGGGCAGUUGCGCCAUCCCCGCAAGUGCCUUUAAUUGCUUAAACUGCCUCUCUCAUUCCUUGCUCUGUCAUUCCACACCCUUACUUUCUCUGUACCUCGGGCAUUGCUAACUUAGGCAUCGGAGGGAUCAAGUCGGGCUAUCCCCAACCUCAGUCUUCUUAUGUAGGUUCUCGGGCCACAUGUCGAGAUUGGACAAUUUCUGGAAUCCAAUGGCAGAUUCCUCUCCAACCAUCAUUGGCUUGUCGGGACAAUGCAUGUUUCCCAUCAUUGGGCCCAAAUGGGGUUGGGGUCAUUCUUUCCUAUGUUCGUUGAACGACCAACCUAGGAGUUGACAAUCUAUACAUUCUUUUGUUGUUUGAUUAGAAUAAUGCAAUUACUUGGAAGAAUCCAGAAAAAUUGCCAUAUUGUCAAGGAUUAUAUAUUGGUGCAUUUUUGUUUUCCAUCAUGUUUUGUGUUCUGUCCCUUGAGUCAACAGUGAAGACCAAUUGGUUCCUUGAGUUAAUAUUGUUCGUCAAAUUGUCAGUCUUCAUUGGUAUUAAGAACCAGCGUGACUAAUUUCAUCUCAUCGAGUUACUGUAAUGUGUAGUUUGUUUAGUCUUUUAUCUGUUUUUUUCUUCUGACAUUAUUGCUACUUACAUUUUCUUUAGGUGUAGCAUAUCCUAAACCCUUUUUCUUCUCGUUAUUUGCCUCUGUACAUUGGAUGUAAUUCUGCAAGGAAUCUUUUCAUCCUUUGGUCCUGUCCCAAUAAUAUUAGUUUUCUGAGUUGUGUUUUGAUGCAUUAUUUGAGCCGAUUACCACUGUAUGUUUAUCAAACAUGGUUGCAAAGAGUUCCCUAUUCUUGUGGGACUAUGGUUUUCAAAUUUACUUUGCCGGCUUUGGUAUUCAUUUAUAAGUGAAUGAAUUAUUUACCGUAAUGGAUUGUAGUAUUCGUUUAUAAGUGCAUAUUCUGAUCUCCCAUUUGUUUUUUUUUCUUCUGAGCUUGAAAAAUAAAUCUUAAGGAGGUUCUGUUUUUUUCUUGGUUCUUUUUUCGAACAUAUAUGAAGACUGAGCAACGAUAUCAUUGCAGGAACUCGAGAUCACGAUCAUGCCCCUUCUGCCGCAAUAGCCUUACGAGAGUAAACUCUGGCGAUCUGUGGAUGUUCAUCGAUAACAGAGAUGUGGUUGACAUGGCAAUGGUGACCCGUGAAAAUAUCAGGCGUUUAAUCAUGUACAUAAAGAAGUUGCCGGAGAUUGUUUCAGAAACAGUUUCUGAUCCUUACGAUUCACAUCUUAGAUGACCUACGAUUCUCCCAUGCCGCCAGGUUAAACUUCCCCCAAUUCCUUAACCUUAGUAGUAUCUGCCUGCUCAAUUAGCUCGAUUUAUUUAAGCUUUAGAGGUCAUUCCAAUUCAUAUUCCGAAGCUACAUCGUAGGUAUAUACUUGAGCGUCUUCGUCACUAUGUAAAUGCUUGUACAGUCUCUUAUUUAUUAACAUGAUAAUUGCAAUUUGGUGCAACUCCCCCGUGGAGCCAAUUAGACAGCAGGCAUAUGGAUGUUGAUUUGGGUUGGGUUGGUUGGCAACAUCAAUGCUUCGACGUGGAGCAGUCGUUUCACGUUCAUCCUUGGAAUUAAGACACUUGAAAUGCUUCGUCUGCUGCCAUUGGAUCUCUUGAAUUAGUAAACAGCAGCAAUCGAGCACAUAGAUUGGGAUCUAAUUGUUCGAGUACCGCAGCACGUGGAUGCGCUGGUCACCGCCUUCGAUGGUAUAUAUUUUAUAUAUUUGAAUGGUUAUAUUUUACCACGUAAUCCCCAAGUAUAAAGUGCACCUCCUUUUUGUAUUCACUCCCUAAAUUAAACCUUUCAAAAAUAUUAUAUAUCUCUCUUAUAUUAAUAAUAAAUACAUGUGUAUAUAUCUUUAAACUUAAGACGUCAUAACCACGAUUAGUAAUAUAUGAUAUCGAGAUAUUUAGAGUCAACAUACCAUAUUUUUCAGGACUAAUUAUAGAUUAUCUCACGUAGUUAGUUACCUUUAAUAUCUCGGUACUUAUACUUUAAAAAGUUACAUUGACAUAUUUAUAGUUACAAAAAUAAAACAUCUAUGUUUACCAUAAUAAUGUUAGUUUUAUCGAUGAAAACAUGAAAAUAAAGAGUAAAAAGAUAAAUUUAACAUUUGAUUAUGGAUGACGAUAUUGUUGGUGUCGACAUCAAUGCAGUUGCCUGGUCAUUUCUGACAAUAAUAAGGUCUGCUCUAAUAGUGAUGCCACUCGCCUCCAUGAGGAGCACGUUGUCGACCCGCAUUGCUUUGCCUCUGCGUCGAUGUCAAUACAGAUGGCGGUGGCUAUAGUAACAUCUACGGCACAGUGUGGUGGUCACAUCACCACUAACUCAUUGGGUGGAUCCUAGCCUUGACUGAAAAAUGAGGUCGUCGGAGCUUCUAUCGCUCCCUCGUGUUGCCAUGUCAAUUCCAACACCACAUCUAGCCGAGCAACCCUUUCGUUGCUCAACAACUAUAUCAAAGCUGACGUAGAUGUAAAGCAGCGAAAGGGCUGUUCAAUGAGAGGUGGUGUCGGAAUUGACUUGACAAUAGGGGGAGUGGCAAGAGCUUCGACGACCCCAGCUUCGGGUUGAAGCUAGGAUUCGCCCAACGGGGGCUAGCGACGAAGCAGUCACCAUCUUUGUCAUAGACACUGUUGCAGCCACUACCAUCAACAUCAAUGCCGAUGUAGUAUCGACGCAAACGCAAAGCGACUCACGACGGGCAACGAUGCAGUCGGCGAUAUGCUUCUCGUGGAGGCGAGUAGCAUAGCAAUGAGAGCGGAUCUUAUCAUCGUCAAAGGCGACCAGGUGACUGUAUCAACGUCGAUGCCAACGACAUCAUCGUAUACUAUCGAAUAUUAAAAUUAUUUUUUUUUAUUUUUUAUUUUCAUAUUUUUAUUAGUAAAACCGACAUCUGUUAAAUGAAUCUGAAUAUUUUAUUUUUAUAAUUAUAGGAAUUGAGACGUUAAAGAUGGUCACCAAUGGGUUUCGCUCCAUUCAAAUCCGUCUCUGUUGGUCAAUCUUGGGAAGGCUGAAAUCUGUCCCUCUUUUUUCUCCUCCACUGGCUCAGUUCUAUUUAUAGUUUUUUUUAUUUGUUUCCAUAUAUAAAUAUGUAAGAGAAAGAAAGGUAGAUCUCCCCAUACUCAAUAGGCUGGCUUUUUGACUCUGCCAUUGACAGAUAAGAAGACGCAGAGGGUGAAGGCAGUAUCAAGGCCUUAUCCUCCUCUCCCAAACCAGUAGAGAGAGAGAGAGAGAGAGAGAGAGAAGAAUGGGUUGGGGAGGAGGCGCGGAGGACAGCGGGGAAGGGGUAAUGGCGACGGAUUUCUUCUGGUCGUACACGGACGAGCCGCACGCCUCGCGCCGGAAGGAGAUCCUCGCACGGUACCCUCAGAUCAGGGAGCUCUUCGGCCCCGACCCGUGGGCGUUCCUCAAGGUGAGUAGACGGUCGCCUCGCAUUCCUCCUCUCUCGUGGCAUGCAUUUGUUGCGUCUUGCUUGAUCUUGCCUUUUUGUCCACAAAGAUCGGAUUUUGAAUCCCUUCGUUUUCUCGUUGCGUUCUUCCGCAUUUUUUGGGAUCGGAUUCUCUGUCGACUAUGUGGCGUUUGUCGCUUGCCCUCGCAUUUCUGCUCCAAAUGUUUUCUUUUGUUAAUACCAUCUGAUGCAAUAUUUUGCAGAUAACUGCAGCUGUUGUGCUUCAGCUAUGGACUGCAACCUAUCUUCAUGACGCGAGCUGGCUGAGGAUCCUAACAGUCGCAUACUUCUUUGGCUCCUUCCUCAACCACAACCUCUUUCUCGCCAUCCACGAGCUCAGCCACAACCUCGCCUUCUCAUCCCCGUCCUACAACCGAUGGUUGGGGAUCUUCGCCAACCUCCCAAUCGGUGUCCCCAUGUCGAUCACAUUCCAAAAGUACCACCUGGAGCACCACCGGUACCAAGGCGUCGACGGCAUCGACAUGGACAUUCCUAGCCAUGUCGAGGCUCUGGCCGUCACCAACGCCGUAACCAAGUCCAUUUGGGUCCUCUUCCAGCUGUUCUUCUACGCCCUGCGACCCGUCUUUCUCAAGCCCAAACCCCCUGGCUUAUGGGAAUUCACCAAUCUGAUGAUCCAGCUCGCGCUUGAUGUCUCUCUGGUGCAUUUCUGGGGGUGGAAAUCGUUCGCCUAUCUGAUACUCGCAACAUUUGUUGGAGGGGGUAUGCACCCAAUGGCAGGCCAUUUCAUCUCUGAGCACUAUGUGUUUAGGCCAGAGCAGGAGACUUACUCCUACUACGGUCCCUUAAAUAUGAUGACAUGGAGCGUGGGAUAUCACAAUGAGCACCAUGAUUUCCCGAGAAUCCCCGGUAGCAGGCUCUACAAGGUGAAAGCGAUUGCGCCGGAGUACUACGAGAGCUUGAAGUCAUACAGGUCUUGGAGUCAGGUGAUCUAUAUGUACAUGAUGGACUGCACGGUUGGACCCUUCAGCCGGAUGAAGAGAAGGGCAUCAAAGGAUGCUGCAACCACCAAGAAAGAAGAGUAGGGAUGCUUUCCACGACAACCACUGUUGCUUGAUUCAUUGCUUCUCUGUGGUGUUCCCUACCACCUGCUGUCUCUCCGAGUUUUUGGAUGCACGAUUGGGUCCUUCAGAUGGAAGGAACAUGUUUUACUCCAUUUAUCCGACCUGUUAUGAAUAGAUCAACGGGAUGGAACUUUUCCACCUCUUAGCUGUUUCAUCAUUGUAGCAAGCAUGUCGCCAUGCAUUCCUGUGGUGGAUAACUGUUUACAACAUUUUGCUGGACCGACUUCAUCUUUCUCCACAUGAUGACUUGCUGCUAGAGUAAGGAUAUGCUCCGACACUACUUGAGCUUUGCUAUUUCCUAAGGCUAACUACAUAUUUUACCCAUGUAAUUAGAACUUUUUUUUAUCUCUAUAUUUAAAAAUUAAUCUUAAAAUUUUUAUAAUCAUGAAAGUGAAAUAUUUAACUCAUUUUAUUCUGACGUCAUCGAUUUUACCGAAGAAAUACAGCACGUGCAAAAAUGACAUAAAACGAUGGCAAAAAAAUAAUUUAAACGUUCUAGUUACGUUUUUUUUGUGGUGACGAACGAUAAUGCCGCUGAAGGCCAUGGGUGGUUGUGGUCAAUGAUAACAUUAGUGACUUAUGCGGCUUCUUAUGGGAGGAGGAGGGGGAGGACGAGAAGGGAAAGCAAUGACGAAAGGUGAGGCAAAAUGAAAGGAGGAAGAGGAUGUUGCAUAUGCCGACGCCCUGCAUCUACGUCGACGCAGAUACAAGGUGUAAAGCGACGUUCGACAUUUGCAUCAACGUCGCUUUGCAUCUUUGCUAAUGCCGAUAACGUUAUGCAUCGCUCGUUCCUUCUUCUCCCCCUUGUGCAUGUCGAGCAACAAAAAGGGGAAGAAGGAUAAGCACCGCCUUUCCUACAUCGUUGUCGAUGUUGACAUUUGCAUAAUCCUCUUUCUCGUUUCCCUUUGCCUCACUUCUCGCUAUCGCUCUCCCUCCUCAUCCUCCUCUUCUCAUAAGAAAUCACAGAAGUUCCCAACGUUCUCGUCGACCAUAGCCACCUGCGACACCGUUGUCCACCACUAUCGAAAACGUAAUUGUGAUAUUAAAAUUACCUUUUUGUCUAUCAUUUUCGUGUCAUUUCUUUUUCAUUGAUAAAAUCACCUACAUCAUCGUUGUCCACCACUAUCGAAAAUAUAAUUGGGAUAUUAAAAUUACGUUUUUAUCUAUCAUUUUCGUGUCAUUUCUUUUUCGUUGAUAAAAACGACAACUUUAUAACUAUAGAUAUUCUAAUUUAAUUUUUUUUAACUUUAAGGAUCAAGAAACUAAAUAAAUCUAACGACAGAUAAUAAUCUAUAAUUAACCCCAUAAUCUAUAAUUAACCCCUAUUUUCUAUGACCAAUUCUCAUUAUAUGAAAUGGACCACUAAACUUGUUCAGAAAUACUUCUCCUUCCACUAAGACCUUCCACUGAGAAAGGGAUGGAAUAAUGAGAGGAGUAUUGUCAAACCAAACCGAGGAUCCUCCAUUAUAACCCAAGUAUGUGGCUCAUUUCUUGAGAGAAAUAUUGUCAAACCAAAGGUCGUCUUCUCAUAUAACCCACAUAUGUGGCCAUUCCGCGACAAAGAGGAAAAAAAACACCCUUACAUGUUAGAGACCAUCAGAUUGAAGUCAAACCAAAUUGGUAUCAACAAGCCGUAACACCAAGAAGUUAAUUAAUAAACCAAAACGUUACCGUGAAAAAUUCAAGUGAUCUUUGAAACUUAAUAUAUAAUUUGCAAGCAAUUAAGAUAACAUGAAAUCUCAUACAAACGUGAUAGGACAAGCACCUUGCCCAUAUUUUUGCACAGGACAAGCAAACUCAAAAUACAUCAAAACCGUCUAUUGAUCACUCAGAUAAAAUUUUAAAGAUAUCCUACCAAAGAACAGAUGAGUAUUCAGAGCAGCUUGCAUCCAAGCAGAUUAGAUUUUCUACAUAGCAACAUCAGGAUCCAAUCUUUUCUGGAUAGCAGCUGCAGCCUACAGAAAUAGGAACAAUACUAGUUGUACUUUUACCAAGAUGUUCAAAUGUUUAAGGGUUGCAUUCUAAAGUAAAAAAAGAAUCACCUCAAAGUUUCCCAACUUAUACUGAUACAUCAUUUCUUCCCUUAAACGAGACUGCUCCUUCAUUGCUUGAGCCUAAAUAAUCAAAUAGACAGAUUACCAGAAGUUUCACAAUAUUGCUGGAGAAGGCACCUUCUUCCAUUUUAAAGACAAUAGUUUACAGGCUGAUAUAAAGAACUAAAUGCACUAACAUUUUGAUUUGCUGCAGGAGUGCUACACUUAUUUUUGCUUAGAUAGUAUCACUUAAAUAUAAAAAAAGAGAUUGUUUAAUGACCUGUGUAGAACAAAAAAUUUGAAGAGAAAAAAAAAAAAAAUAGCUUGUUUCAUUUACCCGUAUAGCACUAGAAAUUUGACGAUAGUUAUUGCCAGGUAUAGGUCAAUGGAUUUAUUGGCACGGAACAAGAUGAAAGUUUAGUAUUAGUAUCAGGUAACAACUUUUAUUAGGUAUUCACCAAGAACUAGAUAGACACUUAAUUUGUGGUCCCACGUGUCAAAUGAUGACCAACAUUACAAGAUAUUCCGCUUUAUGUCUAUAUAGCAGAAUAAAUCUGAACAUAUGUCAAGCAAGAGAGAUCACUCGCAGAGCCUAAAUACAAAAAGUAUCCUGUCACAGGAGGUAAGGUCUUUUCUUCAUGAAGAUUUCAGAUUAUAUCGAGCCAUCCAUCAUCAAUAAAAAAUCUAGUUGAUCAGUUGGCUUUGAUGUAAAUAUUGGGGGAAAUAAAGAUGUGGACCUUGUCCGAUCCAAUCUUCAUGAGCACAUGAUUAAUUGUAAUUCAGGCAAUAAUAUUAAUCAAAACCAUUCUUUAGCAUGCCAAACUGAAAAGAAUUUAAAUACUCGUGUGAUGGCUUGCGCUGGUAUAGCAACAAGAUCACACUUAGAUAUUAAAGGACCAAAAUACCAAUAAAAAAUUGUAAAAUAUUCUCACCAUGCCACUUUGCAUUGAGCGCUUCAAAGCCUCUACUUGUUCUUCUUUUUGUCUUUCACGCUCCCUCAGCAAUUCAAUUCUGCAUCAGCAACAAUAUUCUGGUUCAGUACAAGUUCAACUAUCAAGCCUUUUUAACACAGUUAUAAGACCAUUACACAUGAGAAUCCUUUAAAUGGAUCAAAUGAACUUGGAAAUCAUUAGGGUGAACAUCAGGAGACCUGUGCUGUUAAGUGAGGACAUUAAAAUACUUGAAAAAGAUACAGACCACUAAAGUGAUGUGUUCUCUGUCAUUUAUAGAUAUUGCUUGGAAUCCUAAUACAUCAUGUAGGAAAACAGAUAAAAAAUGAACAUUGACCAUUGGUCCAUAACAAGGUACAUUGUCAACAAGGGAACAUCUAAUAAAACCUCCAUAAAUUGAUUCCUCAAUAUACACUAUAGCAAAUUCAAAUCCAUUGGUUCCUCGAUACAUGUGCACACUAAAUGUGAAAGCCAUUCAUUUGCAUAUUUCACAUGAAACUCAUCAUUUCCAUUAUUGCCUGAUGAAUGAUCAGUUUUUCUAAAGAUCAUGAUUAAUGUAGUUGAGAAAAUGUAUCAACAAUCAACAUGGGUGAUUGAUAAAAAAAGUGUAUCACCAAUCAUCAUGGAUGGCAACCUAAUGACUUCAGAUUAAGGAAAUAAUUCUGCGUUAGCUGGGUUUCUAAUUAAUAUGAAACAAAUGAAUUAAUGAACCAAGGUUAAACUUGAGACACAAGUUAAAAUCCACAAGGUUACCAUUUCGAUAGGAAAAUAACACCAAAUACAUACCUACGCUGUUCUUCAUCAUCAAAAACUGUACGUUCCAUCUCUUGGAAUUUCUUUGAGCCUUUUUUCAUCGCUUUUUCUAUCUUACGUCGAUGAUAGGCAUCUAAAUCAUAGUAUCUGCAAAGUAAAUUAACAAAUGACUACAGAUGCUGGGAGCAUACAUAUAAACAAAUUUUAAAUAUAUCAAAUACUAGAUAUUGCCAAUAAAGCUAAACUUAUUUGCAUCAUUUAAAUAAAUAUACUUGUACAAGCUUAAUCCUGUUGAAAAGACUUACAAAUAAUAGUAAACAUAACUCUCAGGCUAUUGACUAGUAUAAAUGUAAAAGCAUGUCCUUUGAGAAAAUGCUACGUUAAAUGUUAUAGCUAACAUGAGAGAGCAACAUUUGUGAAUUUUACUUUGGAAAACCUGAUUAGUGGCAGCCAUGGGCAUGUAAUUUCACAUGAAAAGCUAGAGGGUUCUGACUUCUUUUACAUUCUCAAGACGAUGUGACGUACAGUCUUAUAAUCAUGGUGUACAGAAUUAUAAGAUAAAAAAACAAUCAAAGUUUACACUUUCCAUCCUAUGCCUACCAAAUCUAAUAAUAGUUUGGCUAGGAUAAAAUGUCUAGCUCAGAAAAUGUAUGCCACAGAUUAAAUUCAAUGAAUUUCAAAAAGAUCAUUAGGCAGGGUUAAGAAUCAAGCACAGGAUGGUAAUUUAUUUGUUAGAAACGAUGAAUGUGAAAACACUGCAAUAAAAACCCCAACAAAAGCUCCUGUAAACACCAGAUAAUUUAACCCAAAGCAUGCCUCCGGAAUACGACCUUCAACUUAUCUAAAAAUUUACCUUUUCCCUCUUGCUAAACCAUCUUUCAGAUAUAUAUUCAUAAACAAAUAUACAAUAUAUGACAAGACGAAAACCAUAAACACAAAAGUCAAACAAUCAAGUAUGUUCCCAGAAGAGAUGCUAACACAAUAAAAUCAAAGAAAUUAAGACCACUUAUGCAGUUCAUUUUGAAAAAACAGCACACAAAUCUUUACAGUCUGCAAAAAAAUAAAAGAUAAUGUGUGCAUUUGACGGUUAUCAGCCUCAUGGCAAAUUAAUAGAUUGCUAGAGCAUUUUCAUUUAUAAAAGCAUUAAAUUAGAAGCUUAAUCGAGAACCUUACUUCUUGGAUGGAAAUGUAGCCGUAUUAUGGUCCUCCAUAAACCUGUGUGGAGAUAGAAGAUCAAUAUCAGACACGGCAAUGAUAGUUGAAAUAUACUUGAAAACCCAAAGAUACGGCUCUUACAAAACAAUCAUGGACAAUUAGACAAUUGCGAAUGAUAGAAUCAAUAGAAAUGAUUUGUGUUACUUACUCUUUGAACAUUUGUUUCUCUUCCCAAUUUGACAAUGCUUCCAGAUUCACCUAUAGUUCAUACUCAUAGACGUCAGAAGUAGUUUGAUGACCUCUGUUUUUCCAAGUUCCAUAUAAUAGACUUAAAAAAAAAGAUUUCCCCAGAAUUUGGUACUUAAAACAUUCUCUAAAGUAGGAUAGCCAAAAUAAACAAGCAAAAGAUAUAGCUUUUUCACUAAUUGCUUCAGUUAAACUAUCAAUCUAAUUCUGAUCGACAGAGUGUGCGAACAAAGAGAUUGAAAAGUUGAAGAGAUUGGAAGACAUCAGUUGCAAGUUUCUUUAAAUGACUUUAACCAUCCUGAAUAAUCAUAGCUUCCUCAUACAAUUAACACACUAAGAACAAAACCUCAACAAAACUGAACUAUUAAUUAAAUCAAUAAACAAGCUCCAAAUCUGGUUUAGGAGCAAAAUAGCACACAAUAACAAAUUUUUCUGGACACAUUGGAGCAAAAUUCUCGAUGGCCAUCCAAGAAAGGUCCCAUACACCAUAUUCUAAAGAGAGGAAAUCUUUAAAUAACACUUCUUGGUUGUGAAAAGGGCAUUGGCUAUUAAAAAAAUCAUCAAAGGAAUCGAAAAAGGAUUUCUUGACAGAAAAAAAGAAGUAUUAUCUCAUAAUGUAAAUCAAACUAAAAGUAGCUCCAUUCUUGGUUGCAUGAAUAUUUAACGUAGUCUGUAUAAGAUGGUGAUACCUAUCCUUAAUGUGAAGGAAGUUAUCUUAAAACCCUAAUGUUGUCUUUUUCAGAUCUGUUUAAUGACAAAAUAUAUAUCAUCAAAAUCAAAUCUCAAAAUUACUAUUGGAAUGUACAUCUAGGAAACCUAACCUGUGUGAUCAUAUUUAGUAAGUCGCAGGGAAAAGGAUUCUCCAGUUUCAAAUAAAAAAUGCUAAAAUAGUUUAAACAUAUGAUAACAAAGACCCAAUUUUCUCAUUCAAUGAAUAUUAGAAAAGGUCCUUAGUAUGGUUCUAUGAAAUUCUGAUCUGAACUAUAAAGCCAAAGAACUACAGAUUUGCACCUGAAUUGGUUUCUUGCAAGAAUGAAUACCUGUUUCACUUCUGAUAGCCAAGCAGUAAACUCAGGUCGUUUAUUCCUGAAAGGAUUGGAAGAAAAAGCAUUACUUGACGAAUGAUGAUUGAUGAGUGGAUUUUGCAUCUAAAGUAGUGAUUGUUUUCGCAAUAUGCAGCUCACCCUUUUGCCCACCAAAAAUCAAAGUUUCUAUUGUAGUCCUAAAUCUUUUAUGCCUUCUACCACAUCACAUACCACACAAUCAUAUGAAGUACUAACGUCUACUUAAUGAUACAAUUGUAUGUGGCAAGAGAAACAACAGAGACAUAAAAUAAAUCUAAGCAUGUACAGUCCUAGUGAGCUUCUGGAUAGUAGAAUAUCUCGUAUGACACUCACGGAAUGCACAAUGGAAACGUUUUCCAAUGUAACAAACCAGUUGCCAUCGAAUUGUGAAAACGUAGACCCACGGGAGAAUAAGGAACGACAAAAAGGAAGGCAUGACUCUUGAUCACAAAAACACUCACCACAUGUCGAUUUCUCUGAUAAUGCCAUACUUCCCCCACGAAUUGGUGACUGCCCCUUUCUUCGCCUCUUCUUUCUCCUUCUUCUUUUCCUUGCGCUUCUUCCUCCUCCUCUUCGCCUCCUUCUCUUCCUCCCUCCUCUUUCUCUCCUUCUCCCGCUCCUUCCUUCUCCUCCGCUCCUUCUCAGACUCCCUCUCUCGCCGCCGCUUCUCCUUCCUUCUCCUCUUCCUUGCCUCGCCGUCGCUCUCCUCCGACUCGGACUCGCUGCCGGACUCGUCCGUCUCGGACUCCGUGUACGAAUCGGAAGAAGUCGAAUCAUCAGACUCGCUCCCCGAGGCACGGCCUCUCCUUCUAUGGCCUUUCCUGGAGCUCCGGUGCCGCCGCCUCUUCUUCUUUGAUCGAACUCUGUCGUCGCCGGAACCACCGGAACUCUCCUCGCUCUCCGUCUCCUCCUUCCGCUUGGAUUUCUUGUGGCGACCGCGAUGAGCGCCGUCAUCGCCUCGCUCUUGCAACUCCUUCUCUUCCUCCGGAAUGGAUCCGUCUCGAUCCUUCGCCAUUUCUAGCUAGGGUUUCGAUCGUUCGCAAGGGAAGAUGACGAAGGUUGGCAGAAGGAAAGCUCGCCCGAUACUAAUGACAAGAGGAGAAAUGGGAUUGCGGUAUAUGGCAGUGCGGCGAAUGAACGGUCUGAUUGAAACGGUGGCACGGGGUAUGGGGAUCACCGACCAGUGGCUUGAAGCCUCUAAUUGACGCGCACCAUCGAGCCAUUGGCGGUUCGGCGGUUCGGUUCGAUCAAAGCUUCUAAUCGAUGCGUAGCACCGUGCCAUUUGAGGUUCGAACAGCCGUCUGAUUCGGAUCGACUAAGUUGGAAUUUUGACGCACAGCAUCGUUGUGGGGAAAGAUCUAAUACAAGAUAAUAUGGUUGAGAAUACACCUCGAGCGAGGAGGUAGCGAGGGAGGGAUUGAGCCGUUCCCUUCAUCCCUGAGAGACGCCGUCGACACAAGCCGCCGACGAUGCAGCUAUUCCGUGGGGCCUGCAGUGGACGAAGCUCGCCUUACCGGCUGAGGAGUUCCCGCCGCUGCCGGAGGGGGUGGCCCGACAACAUUUUCAACCUGGUGGCCGCCGUCGGGGACUCAGACGCUCCGUGCUCCUCAUGCUCGAGCGUCGAGCCGUGGAAGGCAAUCCCGUCCGCGAGAUUUAUCUGAACGAGAUGGUGAAGCAGAUGCGCGGCCGCCGCAGGUACGCUCACGCCCUCGAGGUUCGCCUGCCUACUCUCUCAACUUUCUUCCUUCGGUAUUUGGUAUUUCUACUCCUGUAGUAAAGCAAAAGCCUUCCACAAUUGUGGAGUUGGCCUAUUAGUCAUGUUAUUUGUUUCAUCUGUUGACGACAGUAAGUUUAUGAUGCUUGACAAGUGUGUCGGCAGAGGCUUUCUUCCAUUAAAUAUAGGAGACCAAAAAUAUGCUCAGCAGCUUUGCUUGCAAUGUGUGGGUGGAAAUUGGAACUGACAUUGAAAAGCUUGCAACAGUGGCUGUUAUCUUCCAAGAAAUGAAGAAGCUUGCUCAGUCUAUGUUGAGAUGAAGCUGGGCUGUACCAAGUUUGGAAUAUGUAUCAAGGAGAAGGUAUAUGCGCAUGAUAUGUGGACUGAUGUAGAGGGUCCGGAAGCUAUCUUGAAGGAGUAGGAGACAUGAUUUAGAGUGUGCCGAUUCUGCAAUUUGCAGCAUAUUAUACAAGAGGCCUUGUAGAGAACCAGAGUGUCAGUAAUCAAGGUCAUUGAGGGUGGAAGAACACCUCGUGCUAUUGCAAUGGGCACAUCAGCUGCUUUGUAUUCGGUGUGGUUAGCGAUGAGGGCUGUGAAUCAUACCAUGACGGUAGAACCUUGAGAACCUUAAAGAUCAAAAGGAUCAGUGGAAUGAGCAGAAGAGAUUGCAAGGUUGUUGAGACAUCAUGGUCUUCCGACUAGGGAAAUCUAUGACUGCUUGCUGACGAUAUUCGUGUUGGCCGGGAAACCACCAACAAAACAUGGAUUUGAUGCAGAUGAAGAAAUAUUUAAGAUUCGGGAAGAGGGAAAGCCCGCCACAGAGGGGCUAAGAAAAAGAAAACACUGUUGAGCAGGUAGAUUACGAAGAUGAUGAAACAAUAGGCACAGAAGUAGAUCAUAACUCAGAAAUAACAUUGGUUUAAUGUCCAUACUGAGGCAAACAUUUGCAGAUUCUUAUGGCGGAUAACAUCUGUUACCUUCAGCAUGAUAGUAACAGGCUGAAGAACCGUACACAGAGAAGUGUGCAUGCUCAGAAAAAGAUCAAGCACACAAUGGCACAGCAGAGGAGGAAUACCCAAAUCUGAUGGAGUGACCUCUCCAGCUCCAUCUCCCGCCUCCUUCGCCUGCGGCUGCCCUCAUUGCCACCCAUGUGGUUAGGAUUCGAGUAGUCAACGCUGGCCCACUCCUGAUCCCGGACCAUCCACGAGAGCACCGCCACCGCCAAUCCCCCCAGCACGCCGCCCGCCAUCGAGUGGCUCGGUUGCAGGUAACGGUGAGGCCGAAUCUCCGGGUACCGCGCCUCGUUCGGCCCGAUCGCGCCCCGGCGGGCCGGCCGCGGACGACGCGGUACCUCGACGCCCGGGUGGGGCUUCCUCCCGCAGCCGCGGUGGCCGCGGCCGUAGAGCGGCACCAGAGCGUCCAGGGA
This 58571-nucleotide long non-coding RNA is filed under the name Musa acuminata (dwarf banana). RNAcentral describes it as "long non-coding RNA (MACU_LNC006749)". Lineage: Eukaryota; Viridiplantae; Streptophyta; Magnoliopsida; Zingiberales; Musaceae. The record is from RNAcentral.